This 58113-nucleotide long non-coding RNA is filed under the name Capsicum annuum. RNAcentral describes it as "long non-coding RNA (CANN_LNC015016)". Lineage: Eukaryota; Viridiplantae; Streptophyta; Magnoliopsida; Solanales; Solanaceae. The record is from RNAcentral.
CGACUUAAAACAUAUAAUAAUACAACAAAAAAAUAACAUAAAAACACAUAAUAAGAUCAGAUAACACACUGCUAGAUAAUAAAGAAAAUAAAAUACCCACAGAGUACUACUAUAAUUUAUUUUUCAAAAUAAUUAAAAAAAAAAACUCAUUACCCCACCCCAAUUAUAAAUCUUUGGUCCUUUCCCUCACCCACAAUAUUAAUUAUAAAUCUUUGCCCUUUCCCCCUCACAAAAUGUUAAUACUAGUAAAUCCCCUCAUAUAGCAUUAUUCUCCAACACAACAAUAUAUUCUCUCUUUUUACAUUAUUCUUUUGAAGAACUAAAUAAAACCAUCAUUUCUCCCUUCUAAACAACUCUCUCUCUUUGAGUCUUGGCUAGCUCCAAACAACACAAUAGUUUGGAGACUAGCCAAAACCAGAAAAAAAAAAAAAAUUAUUUCGUCCUUCAACAAUUUUCUUCAAAUUCAUUCAAGACGACGACGACCAUCACCACCAGAAGUUUAUCAAUACGUUCAUUAUGACAAACAAACGAGAAAAUAACAAGAUCGAGUCAACAAGACCACCAAGUAAUAAAACUAUCAAGCGCGAUCAUCAAGAAAAUCGUCAGGAGCCAAAGAGAUUCAACGAUGCAGGAGGUGUGUCAGGUGUGCAUGUAGUGGGGCAUGCAACCAUGCAUGUGCAUAACGAGGGCGGGCCAAUGAGGACAGAUAAUAAUCCAGAAAAUGGAAGAGAGAGAUUGAAAAGACAUAGAGUUGAAGUGGCAGGACAUGUAUGGAUACCAGAAAUUUGGGGACAAGAAGAAUUAUUAAAAGAUUGGAUUGAUUGUAAUGCAUUUGAUUCAACAUUAAUGAAUAAUAAUAAAAUAAUGUCAGCUAAAAGUGCUUUGGUUGAAGAAAGAAGAAGAUUGAGAAUUGAAAAUAGUUAUUGAAAUAUGCUCCACAAAAAAAAAAAAGAUGAGGUUUUUUUUUCAGAAAAAAGUUAUUAUUUUGAAAAAAAUAAUAAUUAUGAUUUCUAUUUUUUAUGGUCUUUUUACUGUAGUUGAUCUGUUUUAUUAUCAUAAUAAUGUAUUUCCAUGUUGAUAUUAGCACUUUUGGUCCUUCUUGGAUUAUAGGUAAAUUCUGAUUUCGAUCUGUGUAAGGUAUAUUUUAUCGAUAAUUAAUUUCGAAAAUAUGUUUUUUUGUUUGUGAUUUUAUGUAGAAAAUAUGUUAUACUUGAAUUUUGUUUUGUUAUUGUUAUAAUUGUGCAUUUUCAUGUUAAUACGAGCACUUUUGGUUCUUGGAUUAUUGUUAAAUUUUGAAUUCGAUCUGUGUGAUAUAUAGUUUGAUAUAGUUUAUUUUUAAUUAAUUUCAAAAGUGUGAUUUUUUGUGACUUUAUGUAGAUUGUUAUCAUUAUAAUUGUGUAUUUCCAUGUUAAUAUGAGCACUUUUGGUUCUUGGAUUAUAGGUAAAUUUUGAUUUCGAACUGUAUGAUAUAUGUUUUAUCGUUAAUUAAUUUUAAAAAUGUGUUUUUGUGACUUUAUGUAGAAAAUAUGUUAUCCUUGAAUUCUGAUUUGUUAUUAUUAUAAUUGUGUAUUUCCAUGUUAAUACCAGCACUUUUGGUCCUUGGAUUAUAAGUAAUUUCUGAUUUCGAUUUGUGUGAUAUAUGAUUUGGUAUAAUUUAUCUUUAAUUAAUUUCAAAAUUGUGUUUUUUGUUACUUUAUAUAGGAAAUAUGUUAUUUGUUAUCAUUAUAAUUGUGUAUUUCCGUGUUAAUACGAGUACUUUUGGUUCUUCGAUUAUAAGUGAAUACUGAUUUCGAUCUGUGUGAUAUAUGGUUUGGUAUAAUUUUUCUUUAAUUAAUUUUAAAAAUGUGUUUUUGGUGAGUUUAUGUAGGAAAUGUGUUAUACUUGAAUUCUGUUUUGUUAUCAUUAUAAUUGUGUAUUUUCAUGUUAAUACGAGCGCUUUUGGUUCUUGGAUUAUAGGUAAAUUCUGAUUUCGAUAUGUGUGAUAUAUGGUUUAGUGCAAUCUGUCUUUUAAUUAAUUUUAAAAAUGUGUUUUUGGUGAGUUUAUGUAGGAAAUAUGUUAUGCUUGAAUUAUUGUUUUAUUAUCAUAAUAAUUGUGUAUUUCCAUGUCAAUAUUAGCAUUCUUGGUCCUUAGUUUAUAGGUAAAUUCUGAUUUCGAUUUGUAUGAAACACCUUACCUCUCAAAUAGGACUUCCCGACAUGAAUCCAAAACAGUCGACAGGCCCCAAAAUGAAUACGGACAUUGAAUGAGAAAUCAAAGAAGAUUAGAAAAAGCCAAAAUAGAAUUUCAACAUGAAAUAUAGAUCACACAAUGUGGUUGAUGGAGAGAUGCAUCCAUGGAUGCUAAAGUCCAACUUGUCAUACAACAUGCAUGAGAGUUAAAAAAAAAGGGCAGGCCGGUGCACUGAAGAUUCCACCACAAGGGUGUCUUGUACGCAGUCUUACCUUGCAUUUCUGCCAGAGGCUGUUUCCAAGGCUUGAAUCUGUGACCUCCUGGUUACAUGACCGCAACUUUACCGGUUACUCCAAGGCUCCCAAAAUGUAAAUGGUCCCAGCUUCAAGUCAGGGAGCAUAUGGUACAGGUUCGAUAUAAUCCAAUAGCUUUCGCUCAAAACCUGUUUAUCUGUUGAUAAAUCUACUAAAUACGUACAUACAACCAAAUGUUAAUCCGGUAGCAUAGCAAGGAAUUGCCAGAAACUCAUAAACUUCAAAUUCUGGAUACCAUCUUUGUUGUAAUGUUGACAGCAGAUUUGUCAUAUAACAUGCAUAGGAAUAUCUUACAGAGAUAGAGUACCAAAUAUUGAGAAAAAUUGCAUUUCCUCAGUAAAAUAUGUAGUAAUGAAUCACUGAGGAUGGUAGGGGAUAUAUAGGGUCCCUCUACCGUUAAGCAGAGGUCUUUGGUUCGAGCAAAAAAAAAAGGUAGUAAUGAUAUUGCUAUAUAUAGAUUACGAUGUGUGGCGUCUGUAUCAGUUGUCAAUAUGCGGCCAGUGGCCACGGGCAAAUAAAUUCCCAUAUCUUCAAUGUCCCAUCAUCACUGGCCGAUGCCAAAAGCCUUUUAUCCUGCAAGGUUUUGACAGAAGAAAGUUAAUAUAUUGCAGGACAAAAAAGAAUCUUGCUUUCGAUUUUGUUAGGGAAAUAGAAGAGAAGCUCAAAAUAGGCAAACACGUAGCCACGAACAAUGUGAUGAAGAAAAAAAACUCGAAUAAAGGGUCGUACUAAGACAGAUACCAAUCAAACUAAAGGGUAGUAAGCAUUAGAGAGUGAAUUCACCCUUGUAGUUGACAAAAACAUUUUAUCUCCUUGAAAAAACAUACAACAACGAUUGCAAUGCCGAACAUAUUUUUUGUCCAAAGCACCAUUUGUCAGCUCUGACAUACACAUCUUACCACCUAUGUGGAUCCGUAACAGGUGGAGUAUUGUGACCGGCUUCAUAUGAACCAAUAUUUUUGAUGUGGAGCACGAAAUUUAUGUCAAAGAAUCAGGAAAAUUGUGACACGUAGUAGAUGAAACCAUAACUUUAGAAUGCAGUGUGUUCCAACGCUAAGAACCUUAAAGGUUGAAUGCAAAUGACUUUAAUCCUAGAUUCAUCUAUGAUCGGUAACACGAUUAUUCCAGUGAGUGACUUACCCCAGAAUGCCAAUUCACAGAAUUUAUAUUUGUUUCAUGAGCCUUCUCCUUCUUCAAAAGUAGUUUAAAUGUAAGUCCAUCAACCUGUCAUCGGAAAAAGUAAAUUUAUUAUACCAAAUAAGGCUGGAAGAGACGAUAUUAGAUGAUCACCAUUAGCUUAUAUGGACAAUAUCAUUCAUGUGAAUCUGGGGAAGUUUGUGUGCAUCUCAACUAAUUGAUGGGGCAGCAUGUAUAGCUUACAAUCAGAGGAAACCAAGAUAAUCUUGCCGGACAAAGAUGGAUCUGAAGGGUUCACACAUAGUGUUGUAGAAGCACACCCCAAAAUCGUCCCACUCCACAAGAAAUUUGGGUUAAUAGGAGGCGGUUUUUGGAGAUGGAGCUCAAAACAUGAUCAAAAGAUCAGUGUUUAUGGAAAAAGCUAUAGAAUCGAUUACUAGUAGUACCAGUUUAAAAGGCUCGUUGGAAUUGAUCCACUAAGGGAUUAACAUUAUACGCAACAUAAGCACCUGAAGUACUAAACGGUAUAAGGGAUAUAGAAGGUUUUCCGAUACCUCUUUGUCCUUAUUCUCGAUGAAUACACGUAUAGCAUCAUCAGCUCCUGAACUCGCAAUUAUAUUUGGGUCCCGCUCAUCCAGCACUACCCUACUGCGUAAAUCUCUAACAUAUUAGAAUAUCAAGUAUGUUAGCCUUCAGGAAUGGCUAUAAUUUGCAAAAGAGAUCAAACAUGAACUCUAGACAGUAAAACAAGUUACGAAACUCUUGAUUCAUGGAAAAUAGAUGGUAUAUCGUAAACCCCCAACCACCACCACCACCCACCCAGAUCCCCUGCUCAAAGAAAGGUAAUAUUAAGGAGUGCAAACAGAAAAAAACAUAUAUUAGCCUGAGCAUGAUAACAAAUAGAUAUAAAGUAGCUACCUCAACCAGUCAACUGAGAAAAUUGUUGUGUCGUGAUAUCCAGAUAGAGUGCAAGCACAUACCCUAACAAGCACAUAAAGGAGAUGGUCGUAAAUCAGGAGUUGGAAAACAUAGUAAUUACAACAACAUACGGAAUACCCAGUGUAGUCUCACACAGUAGGAUCUUCGGGGGGUAGAGAGGUUGUUUCAAAUAGAUCCUAGGCUCUGAAAACUUAGUAAUUGCUGAUAACGAUUACAUCAAACAUAGUUUAUUAAACAAAUGAAGACCGCUCUUGGAUUGAGGAUAAAAAUAGCCAAAGCACUAAAUGCAGUCUCUUAGGAGAACAAAAAUAUUUGUCCACCCGAAUGCAUCACCCUUUCUUUUGAAAAAAUAAGAAUACACAAAGGCUUAUAAUUCCACAGCAAUGAAAGCACCUUUUCACUCUUUCAUACACUAGGAGAUAUGUAAGGUCUUUCAAUUCGUCAAAGCUUAAGCUUAAGACCUGUAUUCCCCGGCAAGGCAAAGACUGCCCCUUUGUUUCAGGGCACCACCACUGUCACGUAGAAUGGGUUGAAUGCGCGGAGAUAACCCCGAAAAGACCGUUGCGUGCUUUGAGGCAUCCGGAGGCUUACAUUUACCCAGAGGAUAAACAAGGAUGGCUUCUUAAAGCACCGUGCUCCAUUACACUGGUGGUUGCAAACACUUCCGUGUGCUAAGUUAAUAGAAAAAUAUAUGGAGAACAGAAAUUCCCCGGGAUUCAAAAUGUGACUUGGAUCAAGCCUUGAGCCUAGGAGAGGUGGGGGGAGGGGGUUGCGGACACAAAUCGACCAUUUUUCCUUGCAGCAUAGUUCUCAUGUGCGCAUGAGGUCCGUGAAUCAACUAUAUAAGAUAGCAUUAUUCUUAUGAAAGUGAAGAUAAGAUGGGGCUUACCAAUGGCCAAUAAAAUCCGUGAGAUAGAGUUUAUCUGUUUCGCAAAUCCAUAUCUUAAUGGUAAGAUCAUCACUGCAAGUUAGAGAAUUCAAUGGAAGAUCUGUUUAGUAGUGACUAAAACACAUAUCCUAUUUAAGAUACACCCAAGACUUGAGAGCGUAUAUUCUAAAAUGAAUUCAGCAGAAAAGAAAGCCAUACCUGCAAGAUACCAUAUAUUCUCUAUACUUACUGACAGAGAGAGACCGCACAGUAGAUGUAUGUCCGCUGAAAGUUCAACAAUGUAGUGGCAUAAGCUCCCAAACAAUCUUAAACGACGUUACUGAUUGCCUUCUUGGCCAAACUUCCAAAAUCUAAUUAUUUUGUGCAGUGUUUUUAGAAAAGUUACUUUUGACGAUUAGAAGCUUGUUUUUGGCUAAUUAAUUUGAAAAACACUUUUGUCCUAUGUUGCUUAGACUCUCCAAAAAAUUAUUGCCACACCUAUAUCAAACCGCCCAAAAAUGCACAAUUUUGGAAGGAUCCGGUACACACCAUCGGCAUUUAAAGAGUCGGAGCAACAUAGCUUUUGCCAAUAUUAGAGCAAUAAUUUGUGUUUGAUCAUGGUUCCAAAGAGUGCCUCCGUGGGAAACUACCUUUUUCCGUUUCUGCAGCUACUCAAAAACACGAUAACUUAGGCCAAAGGCCACGAGGAAAUACAAAAAACCCAGUAAAAAUGCAGUCAAGACACUACAAAUUUGAUAAACAAAGUAAUAUGACAUUGUUCAGGUGUACAUUUUUUGCUCCUCCAGUAAAUAAAAUAAAGUCAAGGUUUUGUAAUGCCCAAUAAUGAUUCUUACCUGUCAGACUCACCCAAAUUUAUAAUACAAUUCCAAACACCGUCGUUAUCACGUCUCUCUCUCCAAGCCUAAAGUUUUCAAGCAACACUAAAGAUUAGAUAUUUUCACUAGCAAAGGAUCGAAUUCCAUUCACUACCAAUUCUCUGCCUUACACGUAAUAGAGGUAUGAAAAGCAAGCACGCAAGAAUUUCUCAAAGCAAGUAACACACGACACGCACACAACGUGAAGUUAAACAUCAAAUAUAUACCUUAAUUGUGUUAUCACAACUAGCCGAGAAUAGAUCAUCAUAAUACCAUUCAACAGUAUUAACAUCGUCUGUGUGUCCUUGUAACACUGUAGCACAAUCAAACUCAUCUCCGGGCAAAACUUCCCAUACCCAGACUGACUUAUCACCUCCACACGUCGCAAGAAGUUGCCCUCUUUCAUUCCAGGAAACACUUCUCACUUCAUUUUCAUGACCCUGGACAUUAUCCAGCAUAAGAAAUGUAAGAAAGCAGACAGGAUUUUAGUAUCUAAAUUAGGAUCACGAAUCAAUAAAAGGCAAAUCAAAACAACUCCGCAGUUGUAAAUUCCCUUAUUCUGCUGACAAAUUGUCUGAAGUUUGUGUUGCAGUAUUUACAGAGAGUUAAUUUCUCAUAUCGUCAGUCAACUAAGAGCAUUUCACUCAGAAAGUCGUUGUACCUUCAAAGUGUAGAUACACUCAUAUGCAUGAACCCCGUCAUCUUUCCAAAUGACAGUGGUGGCAUUAGAGCAAGCUGCUGCCAACAAUUUGCAUUCUGGUGACCAAGCACAGGAUCUAACCAUAGAUGAUACCUCCAAAACAGCCUGCAAACGUGGGGUUUACCAAAAGUGUAGAUAAGCUAAAAAGUGCUUAUACGUCCAUUUGACCAGUUUAUAAGUUUAGCCAAACACCCUCUAAAUUUACAAGUUUUUGAAAGAAAAUUAAGGGAAUUUUAGUCAUUUUUAACAAAAGAACAACUUAUCAAAACUUUUUUAGCAAACACAUCAACUGCUUAUUAAGAAUUUCAGCAUUUCUAUCCCAAACACGUAAGUAUUUAUUUAUAAAACGCAUAAUAAAUAAACAAACACUCAAACUUGACCUCAGUUGGCAAAUAUACACUCCAACUUUGACUCCGCACAUCUAGACACCUCAAUCGUCUCCACUGUAUCAGUAAAUUCUCCAACUUACAAGAUAAUAAUCUAGAUGCCUCCCAAGGGUUGUCCAUGGUAUACAAUAGGGACAAAUGGAGAUUCUAGUUGCCAAUGGAGACCAAGUAGUGAUGUCUACAUGUGCACUCUCAUCGCUCGUUUGGUACGAGGGAUAACUGAUAUCUAAUCUUGAGAUUAAUUUUAGGAUGAUUUUAUCCCAUGUUUGGUUGGGAUAAAAUCAUGGAAUAACUUAUCGCCAAAUUAGUUAUCUUGGGAUUGUAAUAUUAUUUUUGUCCCACGUUAAUGGUGGGAUAACAAUCCGGGAUAAUUAAUCCCAAAAUAAUUUAUUCCCAACUAGACGAGCCCUCAAAGUGUUUACUUGUCAGUUGAAGUCAAAUUUGAGGCGUUUAUUUAUAUAUUAUGCCUUUAUAAAAUCAGUUUCAACACUUAAGCUUCACACUCCCUCCGUUUCAAAAAAAUUGUCUAUUUUGACUUGGCACGGAGUUUAAGAAAAUAAAAAAAACUUUUGAAUCUCGUGAUCUUAAAUUAAAGUUAUAUCAAAUGUACCAAAUUACCUUUUGAUCUUGUGGUCUUAAAAUGUCACGUGAAAAGUUGUAAUUCAAGUAUUGUCAAACAAGGAAAAGGUCAUUCUUUUUGAAACUGACUAAAACGAAAAGUAGGUCAUUCGUUUUAAAACGAAGGGAGUAGUUAUUUACGAUCAACUAAUCCAAACAGGCUCCUAAUUAAAAAAUUCACACUUGAUUUUUUUCCUUUUUUGGAUACCCAUGGUACCCAUGGUGUCAAGGCCAGCUAUUGUGACCUAGACUAAAUCCACGGGAUACUUACCACCUCUUGCCAGCAACAGAUAUCAUCAGGUAACAUUAAACAUGAUUCAUUCGCUAAUGCAUUUCCCAAAUUAUUAAAUUUAUUAUUAUUCAAAAGGUAAUAUGGUAAAAUUAUCCCUAUCAUUUACUACUUCUUAAUUCAUGUGCCAAUAAGAAAGCGGACAAGUAAAAAUGGACGGAUGGAGUAGAUUUUUUUUAUAUAACAGUAGUGUCAAGGCCAGCUUUUGUGACCUAUACUAAAUACAAGGGAUACCUACCACCUCUCACCAGCAACAAAUAUCAGGUAACUUAUAACCUUACAAAUGAACAAAAUUGAAAUGAAAAAAAUAAAUCAAACCUCUUGCGACCUAUACUUAAUCCACAGAAUACCUACCACCUCUCACUAGCAACAGAUAUCAGGUAACUUAUAACCUUACAGAUGAACAAAAUUGAAAUGAAAAAAAAAAUCAAACCUCUAGUAAUCCAUACUAAAUCCAUAGAAUACCUACCACCUCUCACCAGCAACAGAUAUCAUAUCAGGUAACUUAUAACCUUACAAAUGAACAAAAUUGAAAUGAAAAAAGAAAUCAAACCUUUUGCGACCAAUACUAAAUCCAUAGAAUACCUACCACCUCUCACCAGCAACAGAGGUAACUUACAACCUUACAAAUGAACAAUUUUGAAAUGAAAAAAAAUCAAACCUCUUGCGACCUAUACUAAAUCUAUCGCCUCUCACUAACAACAGAUAUCAAGUAACUUAUAAACUUACAACUGAACAAAUUGACAUGAAAAAAAAGAAAAUCAAACCUUUUGCAACCUAUACUAAAUUCAUUACCACCGCUCACCAGCAACAGAUAUCAGACAACUUAUAACCUUACAAAUGAACAAUUUUGAAAUGAAAAAAAAAAAAUCAAACCUCUUGCGACCUAUACUAAAUCUAUCACCUCUCACCAGCAUCAGACAUCAAGUAACUUAUAACCUUACAACUGAAAAACUUGACAUGAAAAAAAAAGAAAACCAAACCUUUUGCGACAUAUACUAAAUCCAUUACCACCUCUCACCAGACAACUUAUAACCUUACAAAUGAACAAUUUUGAAAUGAAAAAAAGAAAUCAAACCUCUUGUGACCUAUACUAAAUCCAUAGGAUACCUACCACCUCUCACCACAGAUAUCAGGUAACUUAUAACCUUACAAAUGAACAAAUUGACAUGAAAAAAAAAGAAAAUCAAACCUUUUGCGACCUAUACUAAAUCCAUUACCACCUCUCACCAACAACAGAUAUCAGGUAACUUAUAACCUUACAAAUGAGCAAUUUUGAAAUGAAAAAAAAGAAAUCGAACCUCUUGUGACCUGUACUAAAUCCAUAGGAUAUCUACCACCUCUCACCAGCAACAGAUAUCAGGUAAAUUAUAGUAAUAACCAUACAAAUGAACAAUUUUGAAAUGAAAAAAAAAAAAGAAAACAAACCUUACACACGAAUGAACCAGAGAGAUUCUGUUCCCAGACUCGUACAGUUUUAUCAUCACUACACGAUGCGAUUACAUCCGGAGAACCCCAUACCCCGGUACCCUUCUUCCAAGCAAUGCCUAAAACCUUUACCAGUGUGUCCUUCAAGCUUUUGAAUAUCCUUCAAUUCAAAAUCAUCAUGUUGAAAUUGAUCAUCGCGGUGGAAUUUCCGCGGUGAAAUUAACAAUUUUUCUUAAUAAAUCUAGCAAGUUAUUUUCAGAUUUUUUGGGGAAAUUUAGCAGAUUUUGGUGUAUCUUUGAGUCUUAAGAGGAAGUGUGAAUGGAGAUGAAAAGGAAUAUUUAUAGGUUUAGGAAGUUAGUUACUAGCUUUAUAAGCUCAGUUAGACCCCUAUAGUUUUUAAAAUGAUAGUUAGACCCCUAUGGAUUUUAAAAUGACAUGUUACGUAAACAAUGUAAUACAUAAAUAGAUACUUAAAGUUAGUCUCAACUAGCAGGUAGGAACUCAGACUUUGAGAGUGCACGCUUAUUGUAUCCAGGGACGGACCUAUGACCAUCUUUUUGGUGCUCCGACGCUGGUUAAAUUUGAGGCAGGUUAGGUAUAAUUAUAUGAAAAAAUGCAUAAAAGUUGGUAUAAGACAUAGAAAAACACCAAGUAAAUCAAGAAGAUAUUUAGUGCUUUAGUUUUCAAGUAAACAUUAAAACUUUGAACAACAAUAUACGUGUUUGAACCUCCCAAGCACCCACGAUCCCUAAAUCUUGGGUCCACCACUAUUGUGCCUUAUGGAUACGUGAUGCUGAUGUGACACAUAAAUUUUGGAGGAGUUUAGAUAGAUCGUUUUGUAACAGAGGAGAUGAGUUGAGGUGUCUGAAUGUAUAUUUCUCAAAGUUUGAGUGUUUACGUGUCAGUUGAGGUGAAGUUUGAGUGUUUAUUUAUAUUGUAAAAAACAUACGUAAACAAACACUCAAACUUGAUCUCGACUGUCAAGUAAACAAUUCAACUUUGAAUAUGCAUAUCUAGAUAUCUCAAGUCGUUUCUACUGUACUAGUUGAAAUUUACAUACCUCCAAAAUUUAUUUAUCAUGCGAACAUCAACAUUGGAUGCCCGCGAGACAUAGUACAGAUAAAUUGGAGUAUCUAAUUAUGAGUCGAGGUGUUUAGAUGAACAGUCUCAAAGAUGAAGCACUUAUUUGGAAGUUGAGAUUAAAUUUGAAUAAUUGUUUAAUAACUUUUUAUAAUUCAAAUAGUAUAAUGAUCUUAGAAUAAAUAUGUUAAAAUAAUAAAAGAAUUUUGGGUCUUAAUUUUGAGUCUUUACUAUAAUUAAGAGUAUCAUCUAAAUUAGGACAUUUACCUUAAUAAAAAAUCUUAUCUAAUUUAGGUAAUUUUUACUAUAAUAAAGAGAAAUUAAUUACUUGACUAUUAUAGCUGAUUUUGACUUUUGAGGUGAUCUAUUUGUGUAAAUAAGUCCAUGUAUAAUUUUCUUUUUUAUGUGGGGUCUAUUGUUUUUUACUUUUCUUUUUGUGUGAAUGAGAUUUAAUUUCAUGAUUUUUGAAUUAGCUAAUCAAUAACAUAGAUUUUAUCUUAAAGAAAUACAUGUAUACUGUUUAAUAUUGUCAAAUAAACAUUGCAUAUAGACAUGUUUGAUAUUCAUCAUAUUUCAAGGCAAUAAACUUAUAAAAUCGAUCAGAAAUUCUAUCUUACAGGCAAUGAUAAUAAGAACUUAGAUAUGUUAUUCAUAAGACAGACUUAAUAACUUUUGACAGAUGUUUAAAAUAUUUUAUGACAGUGAAUCUGUUUGAUUGACCAUAAAUUCUAUCUUACAUGCAAAUGUUAGAAAAGGCGACAAAAAUUUAAGAUCAUACACUUUAAUAGAUAAAAGAGUUAGGGCAAAACGCAUGUUUAACAUGCAAAACUAGGCGCGUCCAGCUUAAAAUCUAAAUACAUAAUACAUAAAUAUAACCUUAAACUUUGACAGUGCACAAAUAUGAUAUUUAACUAUUCAAAACUGCAUAAAUAUAACCUUUAAAUGACUUUUCACUAUUAUUUUUUAAUUAUUUUUGGCUCAAAGAUGAAAAUGACAUCUAAUUUCUUUUGUCAUUGCAGAAAAAAGCAAUAUUGAAGAUUUAUUAAUUAGGUGGGUCAGCCUCAUACGAAAAAAUUGCGCGGGUAUGUAUAUAUAUUAUAAAGCAGAGGAGAAUUUAAAUUAUAUAAUAUAUCUAAAUAUAAUUUAUUUAAAUAUUAAAUUAAAGAUGAAACUAUACUAAUAAUAAAAAAAUUAUAGUUUUAAUAAAAUGUUAUUAAAUUAACGUUAUUAAGAAUAGUAGUAGUAGUAUAUUAAAUUAGCGUUAUUACAAUGUUAUUAAAUUAACGUUAUUAAAAUAUUAUUAAAUUAAUGCAGGGGCGGACCUACGUGGUUGCCAUGGGGUUCACCUGAACCCCCUCGGUAAAAAAAAUACGUUAUCUAUAUAAGGUAGAAAAUCUAUAUGUAUGUAUGUAUGUUAAUGUUGAACCACAUGAAACAAGACACUUAGAUAGUCCAGUGGUGUUAUUUGCUCUUCCUGGGCGCUUCCUUCAGCUUAUUGCGCGGGUUUGAUUUUUUAAUUAAAAAAAAAGUUAGAUGUUGCAGCUAUAGAAAUAAAAUAAUAAUAAUAAUAAAAAUAAUAAUAAUAAUAAUAAAAACGAUGCCUUUUUAACACAAAAUUUUGACAGUGCACAAAUAUGACCUUUAAUUAUUUAAAACUGCAUAAAUAUGACCUCCCUCCAAAUCAACCCUUUUAACGAUGUGGCACCGUGUGAUUGGAUUACCUUUCCACGUAGGCGCGAGUAAAACUCACGGAUGGAAUUAUAAAAUUAGAGGUCAUAUUUGUUCAGAUUUUGAAUAGUUAAAGGUUCUAUUUGUGCACUAUCAAAGUGUAAGAUCAAAGUUCUAAUUUGGUAUCAAAUUUAAAAUUAUUUUUAUGUAUUAACUCUAAAUAAAAUUUUAAGAUCGAGUAUUUGAGAGAAAAAAUUUAAUACCGAACACUUUAAAUGACUUGCACAUAAUUUUGUGGUUAAUAAUAUUCUAAUCCCUCAUAUCAAACUAGCUCUAAAAAUUAAUAUUAAUAUUCUACCUAUAAAGUGCCAAUACAUCAACUAAAAAUUGUUCAAUUUCUUUUACUUCAUAGUCUUAGCAUAACUGAUAAAAUUAUUACAUACGUAGUCAGUUAAAUACAUGCAUAAUCAGUAGAUUUUUAUAGUUCCACUUUUUUCUCGAACGAGCUUAGUGGUUGGUGCUGACCUUUUGCAGCCCAUAUGCACACCAACUGUUUGUUAUAAUGCCUAGCUGAUACAAUUCAAAAUAAACUUCAACAACUUUCAGUAUAUUUUUUUUUUAACAAUCGUAAUGUCUGGACUAGCUUUUGUGCAUGUCCACUAAAUCCGCGAAACUCUUGUCAUCUCUCACUCAUAACAAAUAUCACGUAACUCUGUCCACUAAUGCUAGAACAUAUGUAUAGUGUCUGGAUCAGUUUUCACGCACCUUGACUAAAUCCACAGGAUACCUGCCAUCUUCACUGGCAACAUAUAUCACGUAAUUCUUUCUACUAACGCUAGAACAUAUCCAUAGUGUCUGGACCAACUUUCAUGAACCUCGACUAAAUCUAGAGAUACCUGCCAUCUGCACCAGCAAUAUAUAUCAUGCAACUCUAUCCAGCAAUGCUAGAACAGAUAAGAAGAAUCACCUAGUGUUGUUUUGUCUCCAUUGGAAUUCAAACCUGAGACCUCGUGCUUUCAACUCACUUAAUUGACCACGAGGCUGCACCAUAUUUUGCAUUCGGUCGCUUUUUAGAAUGUUCCGUAGACGAGUUGUAUCAAUAUUAAAUCUUGGUAGCAAUGCAGCAUUAUCAACUAUAAGUAAAUCAGCAAUGGAAGCUCUACCAAGAAAGCUGAAAAAGGCGGAAAAGAAGCCGUGGGUGACGAGUAUUCACGAGCUUAAGCGGAGAGGAAGAGUGGACAAACAAGAGAGAAGAGUGGUACGUGAAGUUGCAUUGCAGCCACCGGAAAAUGGACUGUUAGUUGAAAAGCUAAUACCAGUUGCUCAUCAGGUUUUAGCUUCAAGAAAUCAGUUGUUAGCUUGUGUUUCGAGGAUAUCGGAGGAUAUUCCUAUUUAUUUUUGCAGGUAAAGAUUCAUUUUGCAUUUAAACUUACUUGAUUGCAACUGACAUGUAAAAGAUCUUAAAUCCUAUGGUAGCGGUUUAUUCUAGGAAGAAAAACGUAAUCUUUCCCACUCUUGGUGGCUUCCCCUCUAUGGUGUUAAUGGUCAAACACACGCCUAAAAGUCACACCUUGAUAGUGAGUUGGAACUAAUCAUAUGUAAAAGAUUUUACAUCCUAUGGUAGUGGUUCCUUCAAGUAAGGAAAAGGGACUAUUUAGUCUCUUCCACGCCUGGUGACUUCCCCUCUAUGGUGUUGAUGGUCAAAAACACGCCUAAAAGUUGCACUUUAAUAGUGAUUUGGAACGAAUUAUAUGUAAAAGAUCUUACAUCCUAUGGUAGUGGCUCCUUCGAGUAAGGAAAAGGGACUCUUUAGUCUCCUCCACGUCUGGUGACUUCCUCUCUAUGGUGUUAAUGGUAAAAAACACGCCUAAAAGUCGCACUUUGAUAGUGUGUCGAAACUAAUCAUAUGUAAAAGAUCUUACAUCCUAUGGUAGUGGUUCCUUCGAGUAAGGAAAAAGGGCUCUUUAGUCUUUUCCACGUUUGGUGACUCCUCUUCGGUGGAGUUAAUGGUCAAAAACAUCCGUGACAGUCGCACUUUUAUAGUUAAUGGAAGCUUACUUUAUGUCUGGUUAGUAGGAUUUUUUUGCUUGCGAAGGGACUAGCCCAUGUUAGACUGAGAAGUUAGAGUUUGUAACUGAAGUCUUUAUCUUUUUCGCGAGUCCCACAACCGCCAACUAUCAGCUUUUUUACCUUUUUCAACCUAAACUAUCACCAUUCUCACUUUUCCUAUCUGAAUUCUGAAUCAUAACAAAUUUUGAAUUAAAACACACCGCGAAGCUAGCUAGGACAAUUUCUAGUUGUUCCAUUUUUCUACCUGAAUUAUCACUAUAUACUCAACUAGGUGAGUUUUAACACAUAGUCGUCAUAGUUCAGGUAAGAUAAGGGAACAACUGAUAGUUAAGGUGUGAAAUUCGCGGAAAAAUGAUAGUUCAGGUGUUUUUAUGGCAAUUAACUCUAUGUAAACCGGAACUCGGUUUUAGUAGAAGAGAAGCAUGGAGAAAAUAUGGCGAAUUGUUGCUGAUAGUAUUACCGGGCAGAGCGUAUUUUUGUGAAGGAAAACUGAUCUGAAGUCCCAAUAAAGGUGUACGGUUGUGGACUUGUGGUAGAUUGAGGAUUAGCUUACUAUUAGUCAGAUAUGAUACUCGUUACUUAUUGUUAUGCAGAGACUUAGCUAAGAGCACAACGCGAUAGAAGUAAAUGAUCCUUAUAGGCGAUAUCAACCAGUUCAGAUUAAACUAGUUAUCAAGAUAUGUGAGAUUAAGAAUCCUAAUUUCUGUAGAAGGCAAAUUACUUGGUAAGGGGUUCGAUAAUAUUUGGUUCAAGUUGAAAAAAAAAUGUUUUGACGUGAAUUUCGCUUAGAGAAAAGUUGAAAUUUUGUGAGUGGCUAAAACAUAACGGAUAUAGAAGAUUCAUAUAGCUGACUCCUGCUGAUUUGGAGUCGAGGUCUAGUUAAUCGAUGGAAGAUUAUCUGGCAACUCAUUAUGAAAUGCGACAGUUAAAAUCGUUGUGAUCUCUGUCCUUUUUUGCAGCUUAUGUACUGAAGUUCAUGUUGGUCAUCCACCACAUAAGAUCAGAACUUGCAACGUUAGCGGCAGUCAGAAGAACAAAGAACAUACAUGGAAAAGAGGGGGCGUAGAUCAUGUAUUACCUGUCGUAGAAUCUUUUCAUCUCUACGACAGGUUGGGAAGAGCAGUUUCACAUAAUGAACGACUUCAAGUUGAUCGCAUCCCAGCCCUUGUGGAAUUGUGCAUUCAGGCUGGUGUGGACUUACCUGAAUAUCCAACCCGAAGAAGGAAGUUCCCCGUUUACCGGGUUGCUGGAAAACUCAUAGAUUUUGAGAAGAGGUUUCCCAAGGAUGAUUUUUCCGAGAAGGACAUAGAGUCUUUUCGGUCUAGGGGAACUAUUAAGAAGCCCAUCGGAGAUGAAAAUCAUUUGAAUUUACCCUAUGAUGACAUAAAAGGUAUGUUUUAUGUUACUACAAUGCUUUUUCUUAUAAUUGUUGUCAUUUCUCAAUGUGAACUAUUAAGAGGCGCACCGGAGAUGAAACUUAUUUUGAAUUUGCACUGAGUUUAAGAAAGUAAAGACGGCUUUUGAAUCUUGUGGUCUUAAACUAAAUAUCCUUUAGUGCUCUUAAACAUGUCAUGUGAAAGUUGAAAUUAAAGAGUUGCCAGAAUAGGAAAGAGACAUUCUUUUUAAAAUGAACUAAAAAGGAAAGCAAGACAAACAAAUCGAAAUGAAGGGUGUAUUUCUUAUGGUAUGCCGAACCUUUUAGUUUGAUUUUCCGCUACUUUUUAUCUCUUCACCAGGAUUCGCUGUGCGAGGAGUGGAAGCUUGGGAAAUUUUGCGUACUGGAGCCAUACAACUCAUGCAAACGUAUGGUGUUCAAACAUGUGGAUAUUGUCCCGAGUUGCAAGUUGGUCCGAAGGGUCAUCGGGUUAGGCAAUGUCAAGCCUUCAAGCACCAGAUGAGGGAUGGACAGCAUGCUUGGCAAGAAGCAACGAUAGACGAUCUUCUCGCUACUGUAUAUGUCUGGCAUGUGCGAAACCCACACGCUGGUGACCUUUUGGUAGAUUCUUUGAAGAGGUAUUACGGAAAGUUACCUGCGGUCCUUGAACUGUUUAGUCAAGCUGGAGCACAAGUCGGAGAUGAUUACUAUCGCAUGAUGAGGGAAGAUGUCGUAGUUCCUGAACUAGAUGAAGAAAAAUUUGUUGUAUAAAGCUCUGAAAUGCUGGCCAACAUAUUGCCAGAGGAAAAGGAUCAUUGAACCGAGCUUGUUGUUUCGUUGGUUUGAUUGUUGCUGGCGAGGAUUACCCAAGACUAUCGUUGCAAGGGCUCGUUGAUUGUUAGGGUAAUCUACGCGGAUUCUGGGAGUUGGAAAUUCAACUUCACAUGAACCUUAAAGAAUGUUGUGAAUACAUGUAAAAGAAGUUUGUCGUGUUAAACAAGAAUGUAAACAAGGCCAUAGUUAAUUUAUUAGUCCUUCGUCUCAAUUUAUGUGGCAUAAUUUUACUAUGCAUGGAGUUUAAAAAUCGAAAACAUUUGGAAUUUGUAGCUUUCUGUCUAUAAAGCAUGUCAUUAAGGGCACAACGCACUAAGCUCCCACUAUGUAUGAAGUACCGAGAAAGGCCGGGCCGGGCCGGACCACAGGGGUCUAUUGUAUGCUAUCUUCCCUUGCAUUUCCGCAAGAGGUUGUUUCCACACCUCGAACCCGUGAGCUUCUGGUCACAUGACAACAACUUUACUAGCUAUUCCAAGACUCCCCUUAAAGUGAAAACUAUUUCAAACUGUAAAAAGACAUCUUGUUUUAACGGACUAAUAAGGAAACAGUGUCGCAUAAAUUGAACGGGAUAACCAAAGUGAUAAACUUGUGUUUUCAUUCAAAAAGCAUAACAUAAUCAAGUAAAUACAUGCUCAUAUGUUACUUUUAAGGUAUGCAUAUAUAUGCCUUACAGGGUGAUCUUCUGCAACCAGCCACGAACGGUUACAGCAUAGUAAAUAAGGCAGAAACAUCGCUGCUGUUCUCAGAUCUUCGAGGCAAAGCCGAUGCCCUCCUGUGCCAAUUGAUCCAAGGUAGCAGCAGGUUGAACUUUUGCAACUUUAGCGAGUGCCUUGUUCUCUUCUGGUGUCCCACUCUCGAGGAAUGCGCCAACGAUCUUUCCAUCUUUGAUCCAGUAUUGUCCGAACUUGUGAGUUGCAGAGUUGGGAUCAGUGUCCCCAAAGAGCACUGUUUCACCCUUGUUGUCACCAUAGAAUUGCCAAGACAAAUCGAAGGCACGGGAGUAGAAGUAUGGAAGGUAGUCAUAUUCAUCGAUGGACUUCCCUUGCUCGUUGGCAUAUAUCGCCUGCACCAGCAACAACGUAACAUUAACAUUUACUAUCAUGACUCAUGAGACCAGUGAAGAAUAACAUGUUAUAAUCAGGAUGACAGUAUAACGCUUUCAUGUUAACUCUCGACAGCAUCAGGGAGCCGUCGCUUACCUUGACAGCCUGCUCAGCAGAUUUGCGAGAAUGAUCAACAUGUUCAACUCUUCUAACAUCGUUGUACAUUUUCAUCGGGAAAGUGGCAACAUCACCUACAGCGUACACAUCAGGUGCACUUGUUUUGAAGAAAGCAUUUGUCUGCAAAACAGAAGCCUCGGCAUAAGUACUGAAAUUCAGUAAGUUCGAAUGGAACAUGACACAACGCGCUGUAAUUUUGAUAGAAACUAGCAACAGACAGCUUAUAUCUCUGACGAGAACACAGCUUUGGUCGGACAAGAAAACUAUGUUGUUUCCUUAUCGACAAGUUCGAGGAUUUCCGGUUUUAUUAGAACGAUGAGUACUGAACAGCGAGCACACACCUUAAUUCCUCUUAUAUCGGUUUCAACUUGCCCUUCGAAUAGACUGGUGAGUGGUAUUGCUCCGACUCCUACGACUACUAUGUCAGCUUCCAAAACUCUGCCGUCUUUAAGUUUGACCGCCUUCACCUGCAAAAUGGAAACAAGAAUGCGGUGAGGUAAUGCGCUAAAGCUCAACGAGAUUUCUCAAAAUGGUGCAGUCUUUAGAAAAACCUCUCCAUUUGGAUGGGUAUCGAAUCCAACAGCCGUUGUACCCUGAUCAUAUUGACGCCCUUUUUCUUGUAGUAACCUUCAUAGAAUGCAGCUAUGCCCUCGGUGAAAAGCCGAGGUACUGCAAAAAGCAAAAGGACUAUCAUGAAACAGUUCAACGUUGCAUGCUAUGCGUACAGUGUGGGAACUAGAAGAAAUUUACUUACUGCACCAUGGUUCUGGAUAAACCAUAUCGACUUCAAUAUUGUUCAUUCUCAGUACAGCAGUAAGCUCGAGACCGAUUUACCCUCCUCCAACAACUACGGCCUUUGCAUUUUUGUUAGCUUUUAAUGCUUCCACAAUAUUAUCCGCGUCAUUGAUUUCUCUCAAGUAGAAUAUGUUCUUGGAAUCGGCACCUUGUACACCAAAAUCUGACAACUUCAAAACCUGAACAGACACGGAACAAGAAAUGUUCAUGUAAUGACAUAUGACAAAAAGUAAAAAUAUACAACACAACCAAAUUUCCAAGAGACUCACAGUGGAUCCAGUCGCGAUAACAAGUUUUUCAUAUUUAAAAGAUUCCCCGGCUGCACUAACAAGAGUCUUUGAAGCAAGAUCCGCUUUCACUAUAUAGGUACUCAGGAUCAACGAUAUGUCUGCAAGAAGAGAUCAUAUGAUUCAUAAGAGAUGUGUCUUCAACGAGAUAUACCACUAUAUGUAAAGGUAGCUCGUGAGGGGAGGAUUGCCAAGACCAUAUAAGGAGACCAAGGACCCUUUAACCAACCGAUGUGAGACUCCAACCCCUCCCCCCCCACCCUGCAUACCAAGGACUGGACAUCUGGCGCGUGGACAAUAUAAGAUAGGGGACCCAACAACGAAAACGAUGAAUUGGGUGGGGCUGACUCUGAUACCAUGUUAAAGAAUGGAUCUCGAGCCUAACUCAACCUCAAAAGCUAGCUCAUGAGGGGAGGAUUACCCAAGACCAUACAAGGAGACCAAAGACCCUUUAACCCACCGAUGCGAGACUCCAACAAAGUCGACAGAAGUCACGCUUGACCAUAUGUCUGCAUAUUAUUACCUUCCAACACAUUCACGAAAAAUUAUUGCCUGCAAGAAAACACAACAAAAUUAUUACCUUUCUCUGCAUACCACUCGGGAAGCUGUUUCUCUCCUCCACUUCCAACGCACACAUGAAACCCUGGGAGUCUAGCAGCUCCUGGUAGAUAAAUGGAAUAUCAAAAUCGAGUAAAGCACAUUUUCAGAUGUGUAACACAUCUUUUACUCAAGUCCGCCUCCAUACGACCAUACACUAAAGUCGAAAUUAACUAUCCAAGUAGAAAGAAGACUUGCCUUCAGGGAAAAGGUAUGCCUUGCUAAGUGCGGGGCGUUCAUAAGGAGCCACCUGAGGUAGAAAAAAGAUACAUUUUUCGCAAUAUGAUCAAAUCUAACACUAUUUUUCUGAAAGACGGAAAGAUUGUUAGAUACGAAGUUGCAAAUAUUCCAACCCGAGAGGAUUAGUAUCGUGAUUGGAACUCAUUUCGCAAAGAAUACUUACCGCUUCUUUGGAAAUAAUAGCCAGUUCCCCAGGCUUAACUCCCUGCUUUGCGAAUUCUCUAGCGGCAUACCCCUGCGAAUGCAACCAAACUUGUUCAAUUCAUUUAUGACCACAAAAAAAGGCAGUCCGGUGCACUAAAGCUACCGCUAUGCGCGGUGUCCGGGGAAGGGUCCCACCACAAGGGUGUAUCGUAUGCAGCCUUACCUUGCAUUUCUGGCCAGAGGCUGUUUCCAAGGCUUGAACCCGUGACCUCCUAGUCACAUGACAGUAACUUUACUAGUUACGACCACAAAUUCAAAAAUCUGAAUAGCCAUACAUAUUAUAUCUGAAAGAAUCCGAAUCAUAUAUUAUCUCAUAUAAGAAGCUAACUGGUUAAACGCUUCACGAGGAAUGCCAAAUUAGGAAACUUAUAUGCCAAUUCCAUUUCGACAGCAAACAAAAAUAGUGAAAGAGAUGAGCUUACCUACAACGAAACUCUAGCAAACACGCGCGCACACACACACAACUCGUAUGUAUACGAGCAUAUGUGUCUGUUUGUAUCCAACCAAUCAAAGACAUCUACUAUUUCUAAGCAACGACAACAACAACAUACGCAGUGAAAUCCCACAAAGUGUAGUCCGAGGAGGAUAUAGAGGUUGUUUCCGAAAGACUACUAUUGCUAAGCCAAACGACAAGAUAGAGUUAUGACAUGAUCUCUUGUUCUCAGUAUCUACGCAAGGCAACUCGUAGGUUCUACAUUUUCAAAUUGCUUUGUACUCGAAGCUUCCCGCUCCAUUUCGAAGCAACUCAUUUCAACAGCAAACAAAAUAGCGAAAGAGAUAAAGCUUAUCUACAACAAAUUCUAGCCAGCGCGCGCGCACACACACACAACUUAUAUGUAUAUGAGCAUACGUGUCCGUGUCUAAUCACUUCGUGCUCAAAUCCACCAACUCCCUCGCGAAGCAAAUCAACUACUCCAGAGCAGACUAAAGCUUCGAAAGGAGAUAAUUCUCUCUUUCAGACUCCAUAAUCUAUGGUUGUUACGUACUGUUUCAUAAUGUAUCGUAUUGUAUUGUAUUGUAUUGUAUUGUAUUGUAUUGUAUUAUGUUGUAUAAAUUCUAUGUUGCUCGGACUCUUCAAGAAUGUCAUCGGGCGCGUGUAGGAUCCUUCAAAAGUAGAGCAUUUUUGGAGGAUCCGACACGAGUGCGGCAGUAUAUUUGGAGAGUCCGAGCAACUUAGGUUGUAUUGUAUGGUAGUAUAUUGUUAUAAUGAAUACAACAUUUGGAUAGAUUGUAUCAUUUUCAGUCGUUACAUAAUCUCGCACAUCAAUAAUUUGAACGAUAGAUAAAUCUACUCGAAAAGUAGGAUACGAAGUCGAGCUACGAUAAAAAGGUAGGAUGAAUGAUCAAAUAUGAUUAUUAAAUAAGGAAACGACGCGAUACCAUCAAAUCGAUGGUCAGAUAAAAUGAGGCUUUUCGUGGUUACCUAAACAUCGAAUCAAACCAUAUUAUACAAUCUCUUUUAAGUAACGAUCAAAACAAACAUGGUAUUGGUACGAAAAAAUGAACUAUAUGUAUUCGUAUCCCUCAAGGAUUUCACAUUUAUCAUAAGAAAAAAUGCACAUAUACAUCAAAUUGUGUGCAUUUAUGUGUUGUAUACUUACUCUGUCUCAAUUUAUGUGGCACUUUUUGCUUCUCGAGAGCCAAACAAUCUAAGUUUGACCGUGAAUUUGAACAUGAAAUUUUCAAACUUUUUGAAUUGAAAUUUAUAUAUUUGUAAACUACGUAAAGGGUACGUUAUAAGUCACAAUUAUAGACAAUUCAAAAUAUUUAAAAAAUACAUGAAAAAAAAUUGAAAACUACGUAAAAAGUACGUAAUAACUCACAAUUAUUGACAAUUCAAAAUAUGUAAAACAUAAAACUACUUAAUAAGUCACAAUUAUUGAUAAUUCAAAACAUUUAAAACACAUGAAAAAUAUUACGGUCAUGAUAGACUUGGUUGAAUCUCGAAAUCUGAAGGGUGACACAUAAACUGUGACAAAGGAAGUAAAUGUGUGCUAAAUCAUCACAAAAUAAUCAACAAAUUAAGCCUCUUGAUCACCAUAUACAUACAUAUACAUAUAUACAUACAUAUAAAUAUACAUACAUAGACAUACAUAUAUACAUAUUCAUAUACACACACAUACAUACAUACCACACAUACAUACAUACAUACUUACAUAUACAUAUACAUAUAUAUACACAUAUACAUAUACAUAUAUAUACUCACCGCAGCAACACCGCCACCGACGAUAAGGUAUUUGAAAGAUUUAUCUGCCAUUGAUGAAAAAUUGUUGAGUUUUUUGUUAAAGAUGAAAAUUUAAUGUGAAAAUGAAAUGAGAGAAGAAAGAGUAUUUAUAGGUUUGGUUUGUUAACUAGUUACUAAAUUUAUAAGCUAAAAAUUAGGCCCCUAUAUAGUUUAAAAAUGACAAAAUAAGUAAAUAGAUUCAGUUAAAUAAAAAUAGAUUCAGUUAAAAUAACUAAAGUAGAAAAUCAUAUUGCAUGAAAAGAAGAGUUUUAUUUGCAUGAAAUUCAAAUUAACUUUGUUCUUUUCGUUUAUAAUAAACGUUGAAGUGAAAAAUAUCAUACAAUAAUAUAUUUGAGAUAUAAUAUUUAUUUAUAUUAUUUAAAUAGAUGUAUCAUUUUUUAACGUUAAUAUAUUGCUACUUUCUUAAUAUUAUUCUUAAUUCUUAUGUAUAUUCUAUUGAUUGAUGUGAGAGACACGUGCAAAACAGGUACACUAAUCUAGUUAAAAUAAAAAUUGGACCCACUAAUUCGGUAUUGUUGUGGGUUGGGUUUAAUUUUAGGGCAUAUGAAAUAAAUUCUAACAGUUUAGAGCUUAAUUACAUAAAAUUCUGACAUUUUGCAUACUUAUUGAAAUCCCGAUUUUGGGUCUGUCAAGAUAUAUAAUAAACUUCUGAUGUAAUUUUUUUGAUUUUGGGACUAUCAAGAUACAUAAUACAUCCAACGAAGAUACAAUUUUUUUCUUUAUAAAGAUACACAAUUAGCUUUCAAUAUAUUUUUUCUAAUUUUGGGUCCGCCAAGAUACAAAAUUAGCUCCCGAUACAUCCAGCGAAGAUAUACAAUUGGUUGAGAUUUUUAUAAUUAUUUUAUAAGAGUGCGGAAUUAUGUAAAUAUGGUAAGUUAGGGUCUAUGUUUAUGUUAUUUUGGCUUAAUUUUAAUGGAUUCGAUUUUUAGUUUUGAUUUUAAGUAAUAUUGGUUGAUUUAAAUUUGGUGACGUGGACCUCUAAUAAGAGGACACACGACAAAAAUAGUUUUGAAAAACCACCGUUAGAAAAAAUGGCACAAAUGAAUCUUUUAUGUAACAGUAGUGGCAUAGAUGAAUCAAACUCUUAACGAAUGACAUAGAUGAGUCAUUUCUGACAGUUCGAUGACAUUUGAGAUUAUUCACUAGUUUUAAAAUUGAAAGAAUACGUAAAUAAACACUUAAAUUUGGUUUCAACUGUCAAGUGAACACUUAAAUUUUUUAAAUAUGUACAUCUAGACACCUUAAUUUGCUCCAUUAUAAGCUGAUGAUUAUACCCCUUAGUUUUAAAAUGACACACACAUAAACAAACUAUAGAACUUGGUCUUAGCUAUCAAAUAAACACUCGAACUUUGAAUAUAUAUAUCUAGGUACGUCAACACGCCUCAACUGUACCAGUUGAACACACUAAUUUACAAACUGAUCAUUUAGACAACACGUCAGCGUCGGAACCUUAUCUUUGGGCAAGGGUCUAUUGUGUGCAACUUUAUCUUGCAUUGCUACAGACGUUUUCACAACUCAAACCUGUGAGCUCCUAGUCACGUAGCGACGACUUUACCAGUUAUGCCAAGUCUCCACUUCACAAUGUGAAGUUCAAAGUCAAACUAUUUAUAAAUGUAGAAAGGUGUUCUUUUGUAACAGACUAAAAAGUAAACAUUGUCACGCGCUACCCCCAUAAUGUGCCCUGCAAUGCGCGAUCCGGAUUAAUCGGAGCUCCAAUGCGGGCACCGAAAACCGGGUGGGAAACCCCCAAAAACAAAAAGUAAACAGUGUCACAUAGUACUCACUGUCUUUGUGCAUUAACCAAAGUGAUAAACUCUGUGUUUUUCAUUCAAUAAGCGUGACAUAAUAUAAAUACAUGCUCAUAUGUCACACUCCUUAAGGUAUGUAUAUAUAUGCCUUAAAGAGUGAUCUUCUGCAACUUAAUUCAGAUGAAGAAACAUCAUAUUUAACCAAUCAACCAGGCACGAAAAACUGUCAGACGGUUACACAACAUAGUAAAUAUCGCGGAAACAGUGAUGUUUUUAGAUCUUUGAGGCGAAGCCGAUGCCCUCCUCUGCCAACUGAUCCAAGGUAGCAGCUGGUUGAACUUUUGCAACUUUAGCAAUUGCCUUGUUCUCUUCAGGUGUUCCACUCUCGAGGAAUGCACCAACGAUCUUUCCAUCUUUGAUCCAGUAUUGUCCGAACUUGUGAGUUGCAGAGCUGGGAUCAGAGUCCCCAAAGAGCACUGUUUCGCCCACAUUAUCACCAUAGAAUUGCCAAGACAAAUCGAAGGCACGGGAGUAGAAGUAUGGAAGGUAGUCAUAUUCGUCAACGGACUUCCCUUGCUCGCUGGCAAAUAUUGCCUGCACCAGCAACAAUGUAGGAAUUAAUAUUUUUUACUUCAUCGAUAAAUAAUGGGAAGUUUAGGAUUCAAACUGCAUUUCACGAGUUCAUUGAAAGAGUAGAGAGCUGUUCUAACUCAUGCAGCAAUAACAAAUAUACAGAAGCAAGGACAUAAACAACCAGUAGGCACGUAGAAUGGAGAGAGUAUUUCAGUAUUUGAACACCCUAAUCUACGUGUGUACUGUGUUUCAACUAUCCAGUUUAUAUCAUGACUCAUUUAGAGCAGAAUCAUAGGUGAUCAGUGAUGAAUAACGUAUUAUAAGAAGGACGACAAUAUAACUCGGGACAGCAUCAGUGAGCUGUCACGUACCUUGACAGCCUGCUCAGCAGAUUUGCGAGAAUGAUCAACAUGCUCAACUCUUCUAAUAUCAUUGUACAUUUUCAUCGGGAAGGUGGCAACAUCACCUACAGCGUACACAUCAGGUACACUUGUUUUGAAGAAGGCAUCAGUCUGCAAAUAGAAGCCAAGGCGUAAGUAUUGCAAUUCAGUAAGUUUGAAUGGAACAUGACACAAUGUGUCAUAAUUAAGAUAGAAAGUAGAAACAAGAAACAGACAGCUUAUUGCUCGACAAGAACACACAGGUUUGGUUUGAGAAGAAAAAAUAUUUGUUUCCUUGUCAGCAGCAAGUUCAAGGAUUUCUACUAUUUGAUACAAUUUCUAAAUGUAUUAUUAUUUCAUUUCUUUGUAUUGCGCAAAGUAAAAUCCAUCGAUCUGUUCUUUCAAAUCAUCUCAGCAGCUCUCAUCUACUUUUGAAGCUUAUACUGAACUAUUAAAUUUUUUCUGGUACAUUAUACUGGACUAUUUUAAGGUUUGACCGUGAAAAUGACAAAAUCAUCUACUUUAGUGCACCGGGCUGCCCUUUUUUUUACCGUGAAAAUGACAAAAUCAUCGAAAAGCACGCAAAUCAGAACUUAUUAAAGGAUGAGUACUGAGCAGUGAGCACACACCUUAAUUCCUCCCUUGUCCUCAUCAACUUGCCCUUUGAAUAGAGUCGUGAGUGGUCUUGCUCCAACUCCUACGACUACUAUGUCAGCAUCCAGUACUCUGCCAUCUUUAAGUUGGACGGACUUCACCUGCAAAUUGGAAACAAGAACGCUGUGAGGUAAUGCUCUAAAAGCUCAACAAGAUUUCUCAAAAUGGUGCAGUCUUGAGAAAAACCUCUCCAUUUGGAUGCGUAUCAAACCCAACAGCCACUGUACCCUUGAUGAUAUUGACUCCCUUGUUCUUAUAAUAACCUUCAUAGAAUGCAGCUAUGCUCUCUGUGAAAAGCCGAGGCACUGCAAAAAGCAAGAGGAUUACAGUAAGAUUAGAAUACGAUUAAGCAGGAGAAUAUAUUCUCCAUAACUGACUACUAUCGAAAAGUUUUAACGUUUCAUGGUAUGCAUGCAGCGUGGGAACUAGAAGAAAUUUACUUACUGCACCAGGGUUCCGGGUAAACCAUAUUGACUUCAAUGUUGUUUAGUCUCAGUACAGCACUAAGCUCAAGACCGAUGUACCCUCCCCCAACAAUUACAGCCUUCCCAUUUUUCUUAGCUUUUAAUGCUUCCACAAGCUGAUCAGCGUCAUCAAUUUCUCUCAAGUAGAAGAUGUUCUUGGAAUCAGCACCUUUUACUCCAAAAUCUGACAAUUUCAGAACCUGAACAUAAACAGAACAAUAAGUUCAUGUAACGACAAGAGUAAUAUAUACGACAGAGCCACAAUUCCAAGAGACUCACAGUGGAUCCAGUUGCAAUAAGAAGUGUCUGAUAUUUAAAAGAUUCCCCAGCUGAACUAACAAGAGUUUUUGAAGCAAGAUCUGCUUUCACUAUUUCGGUACUCAGGAUCAACGAUAUGCCUGCAAAACGAGACCAUAUGGUUCAAAAGAGAUGUAAUCUGGAAUUUAUAAGAGAGGUGUUUUUAACCAGAUUUAUCACCAUUAUGUAAAGUUGACAGAAGUCAUGCACGACCAUACGUCUGCAAAUAAUGCAUAAACACAAAGAAAUUAUUACCUUUCUCUGCAUACCACUCAGGAAGCAAUCUCUCUCCACCACUUCCAACGCACACAUGAAACCCUGGGAGUCUAGCAGCUCCUGGUAGAUAAAGGUCAAUCUAAGAUGUUAGGGAAAAGGAAUUUCUAAUACAAGGUUACAUUAAGAAUAUAUAUGUCCAGCUGCUUUUUGGAAUAGCUUUUUAUGACAAAUUACAUGAGAUGACAUUCUGUAUAAUAAAUCAUGCUCAAAUUUUUCUUUCCAUCAUCUUCUUUGCCGCAAGGAGAAUAAUCAUUCUACAAGAAAAAAGCGAGCGGCCAGGACUUUACUCUGGAGAAAGAUAAGAUGCAUUUUCUGCAGUCCUAUCUAAUACAAACUUUUGUUCAAGUCCAUACCACCACAGACUUAAGUCAUAUCCAAGGAAAGAGAAACUUGCCUUCAGGAAAAAGGUAUGCCUUGCUAAGUGCCGGACGUUCAUAAGGAGCCACCUGAGGUAGAAAAAACAUUUUUUAGAAAUCAGAUCAAAUAUAACACUAUUUUACUGAAAGAAGGAAAGAUUGUUAGACACAAAGUUAAUGAGAAAUAGCGAUAAAGUGUAGAUAGUAGCAAAGAAAAACAUCUAGCACAUUAUGGGAUAAGAGAGGUGUGAUCAGAAACUCCAAAAGCAAAGAAGGAACAAAUUCUUAAGCAGAUGGUAGAGGAUUAAGAGAUUUUUUCUUUCCAAAUUGACAAACAUAUGUCAAAGGGUCAUUUACAAUUUUGUAUAUUAGCUAUGAGACAGUGAAUGAAUGCUUUUAAGCAAUUUACAAGCAUAACCUGAUGAAAUAUUAGCUCAUAGCACCAAACAUAACAGAAUUUAGAGAUUCUUGUAGAUAAAAACUAAUUGGAAUACUAAGGUAAAUCUAGUGACAUAUAAUACAUGAUAUUAAGAGAAGACAAAAUGAAUGCUCCCUUCUCCAGAAUUAAGUCCACGCAGGCAGCAAACAACUCUGAUUUACAAUUGAAAUUAGUGAAGGCAAGAAAGAAAUUAAAAAUACUUACCGCCUCUUUGGAAAUAAUAGCCAGUUCCCCAGGCUUAACUCCUUGUUUCGCGAAUUCUCUAGCGGCAUAUCCCUGCAAAUACACCCAAACUUGUUCAUUUCAUUUACAACUAUUCAAUAACAGCAAGAUUUGUUCCAAAAAGAGCUCAGACAAAACUAGAGAAUUUUGAGGAAGUUGUUAUAAUCCUUUUCUUUUCAAAGAAACCGGAACAUUUGUUAUCCCAAAGAAGAAGCUAACUGCCUAAAUGCUUCACAGUGAAUGACAAAUAACGAAACUUAUAUGCCAUUUCCACUAUUAUAAUAUAAGAUUUACAGUUAUAGUAUCCAAUCAAUCAAAUAUAUCUACAGUUUCUAUGCCAACGGACAAAAUAGAGGAGCUUUAACUCAUCAAAAAACGUUUGAUUUUGUGUCAACUAGUUAUAACCAUCCAAAGUAAAUAGAAAUAAUUAUGCCAUGAUCGCUUGCUCCCAGUAUCUCCAUAAGACAACUAGUAUGUUCUACAUUUCAAAUCACUAGCAUCACAUACCAUCAAAUCCCAGUUUCCGAAAUACCACAUCAGCCUACCACCACUAAACCUAGGUUUUCAAGGGGCGCUAGGCAUCAGAAUUCAUAAAGUUCCUUUUUUUUCAAUCACCAGGUUUCGCUCAUCAAGUUGUUGUUUGAUCUACCAUUGUUAGAACACCAGAAUAUUCACCUUUUGGGGGGUUAACACCUUAGUAUCACGCCUCCAAGUCCAUUUUGAAGCAAGUCAAUUUCAACAACAAACCAAAACAAUCAAGGAGAUAAGCUUACCUACAACAACAUUCUAGCUCUCACACUCCAAAAUCUAACAACUUGACCAUUAAAAGGGCAGCCCGGUGCAUUAAAGCUACCGCUAUGCGCGGUGUCCGGGGAAGGGCCCACCACAAGAGUGUAUUAUACGCAAUCUUACCUUGCAUUUCUGCCAGAGGCUAUUUCCAAGGCUUGAACCCGUGACCUCCUGGUCACAUGGAGGCAACUUUACCAGUUACUCCAAGGCUCCCCUUCAACUGACCAUUGAAAAAUAUAAAAAACACAUUCACACACAUCAUGCGGACAUCCUUUUGUAGCAAAUUCAUGUUAAAAGAAUCGUAGAUAAGUAGAAUAGAACCCUAAACCUCUUCUAGCUAAAACCUAUACUAAACCAACUCGACAAGGCUAAACUUUUGUAUAUGUUUUCUAUAGUAAUAAAUAUUAAGCACACUCUUCCUUUGAGAAUAUUAUGCUACAUACGUUACUAUUCCAAAUACGGAAUCCGCCUCUGUUACUAUCCUAGUCGCGGUCGAUAGAAUUACCUAGAACCUGCUGUUGGUGGGAGCUGACAGGUAUCACGUGGAAUAAACCAACGAGACAAGGCUAAACUUUUUGUAAAUGUUUGCAAAUAAAUAUUAAGUACACACUUCUUUUUUUAAUAUUAUGCUUCAUACGUUACUAUUCCAAAUCCUGGAUCCACCUCUGUUACUAUCCUAGUUUCGGUCGACAAAGUUACCUGACACCUAUUGCUGUUGGGAGCUGACAGGUAUAACGUGGAAUAAACCAACUAGACAAGGCUAAACCUUUUGUAAAUGUUUGCAAAUAAAUAUUAAGUACACACUUCUUUUUUUAAUAUUAUGCUUCAUACGUUACUAUUACAAAUCCUGGAUCCGCCACUGUUACUAUCCUAGUUUCGGUCGACAGAGUUACCUGAAACCUGUUGCUGUUGGGAGCUAAAAGGUGGAAUAAACCAACUCGACAAGGCUAAACUCUUUGUACAUGUUUGCUAAUAAAUAUGAAGUACACUCUUCCUUUGUGAAUAUUAUGCAACAUACGUUACUGUUCCACAUCCCGGAUCCGCCUCUAUGACUAUCCUAGUCUCAGUCGACAUAAUUACCUAGCACCUGUUGCUGGUGGGCUGACAGGUAUCACGUCCACAAAGUCAUUUCACUAUGCUAACUUUCAGAUCUAGCACAUCAAUAAUCUCACAAUAUAAAUCAUCACAAAAUAGUCCACAAAACUAUAAUUGUAAUUCCAAACUCAAAAUCAAACACGUAAUCUCAAAAAAUUAAUCGAUAAUAAAAAGAACUUAAUUGACUCAAUUAACGAACAAUCGAUCAACAAAAUACUCACAGCAGCAACACCGCCACCGACAAUCACAUAUUUGAAUGAUUUCUCCGCCAUUGAUGAAUUGUUUGAGCUUUGUUAAAGGAAAAAUAUGAAAAGUUUUGUGAAGGAAAAUGAUGGAUGUGGACUAAUAUUUAUACUUGAUACAGUCUCAUUUGGUGAUUUGUGAUUGGUUGAAACGAGGAACAUUGUGGAAGUCAAUAACAAACGUACACGUGGCACGUGAUGUGCCAUUCGAUUUGAUGACUAUAGAAGAUCAAGUCAAAUUAAGAAUAUGACGUUAUAGUAUACAUUGACGUUAUAAAAAAUAUUUAUGAAUUGGUCAUAAAUAAUUAGAAAUAAAUCAAAAACGUAGAUUACAUAAUUAAUUAAAAAUAAAAAGAACUAAAUUGACUCAAGUAAUAAUGAAUCAAUCGACGAGAUACUCACCGCAGAAACACCGCCACCGAGGAUAACGUACUUGAAUGAUUUCUCCGCCAUUGUAAAUCGACGAUUAAAUUUUGAGUUUUUUUUGUUGAAGAUGAAAAUUAUUUAAUGUGAAAAAAAAAAAAUUAUAUGAAGUUUUGUUUGAGGAAACUGAUGAAUUAAAGUUAUAUACUUAUCAUGCAUAAUGUAUACAAUAUUUGUGUAAGUCAAUCAGGAACGUACACGUGGCAUGUUGUGUAACGUUUGAUUUAUUGGACUUUGUCAUUGCCACGAUAGUUGGAUAAAAGAAAAGGAAAUGUACACAAAAAUAGUAAAUACUUUAUUUAUGGAUGUAAAAUUAAAGAACACAUUUAAUAUAAUUCAAUACAAAUAAAAUGUGAUAAAUGAAUCGAUUGGCAUAAAGUUGGAUCUUAUCUAUUUUUAAUUAAUGCUCAAAUUUUUAAUCAUUAUUUUUCAGACUUCGGAAAUAAAAUGAUAAAAGUCUAUCCAAAAGUGUUUUUAUUACAAUAACCAUAUACAAUGUAAUUUCAUAAAUGAAAUAUGAGAAGAAGAUAAGAUAUGUGUAGAUGUUAACUAUUUUUAAAAAUAAUAAUAUUACUUUAUUUAUUGUGUACAAUUAAAGAAAACUUUUGAUAUAAAUUAAUACAAGAUAUUAUGAGCACACACCAAUAAGUUAAAUAUUUUUCAAAUAAAAUGUGAUAAAUGAACUAACUUUAAAGUUGGGUCUUAUCUAUUUGUAACGCUUGAGAAUAAUAAAUUAUUAAAUUCUAUUCAAAAAGUGUUUUUACAAUAAUAACAUAUUUGAUAUAACUUCAUAAGUAAAGUUUAAAAAGAAUAAAUUAUACGUAAACGAUAAAUCUUAGUCUUAAUUUUAUAUGAUAAAAAAAUUAUUUUUGAUAGAGAAUUCGAAAUUAUUGUUCUAGAAACUAGUAAUAAAGUGAACAAGUGGGAAUUAUUUCUUUAUUUUGUUUUUUUGAAGUGAUAAUUUAAUUUAUGAGAAGUGCUCUUUUCUUUUCUUUUUUUUUAAUGACUUUUUAGUACAUUUAUUUUCAAUUAAAUAAGGUUUGACACUUGUCUUUUUAAGAAUUUUGUGGAAAAGUCAUAAUCAUUGAUGUCAUUGCCUAGACAAUAGAAUUGUACCAUAAAGCUAAUAGUCCAAGAAUGAAAGAUAUUUUAUUUUAUUUUUAAUUUUGGUAAAGAAAGUGUGAAAGGCAUCUUGGUCAAAUAUCAACUAAUAAUAUAUUAUUAAAACUAAAUUAAUAAAUUAAACCAUUUUUCAUAUAAAACCCCUCAAAACCACUUUUGCAAAAUUAUUAAAAUAAAAUAAAAAAAUCUCAAGUUUUGAGCAUUGAGAAAGAAUUUUCUUUUUUUUUAACGUCUGAAGUUAGAUUGAUGAUUGAUAAAGUCAGAAAUUACUAUUUUAGCGACGCAGUAACAAGAUCGAUUCGAUGGCUAAAAAAGUUUGAUCGUUUUGUUGAAUAAAGCAAAUUAACGUAGCAAUCGAGUACGGAUGUAGAUAAAAGUUAUUGUUUUAUAUAAAUCAUAUAUUAUAUCGUUGAUUCGUAGAUCCUCGCUUAAUCGGUAACCUGAUGAGUUGAAUCCGACGUAUCCAUCAUAGACCAAUAAUAUUCACGACUCAUUUGACAAUAUUUUCUUUUUAAUGAAUCUUAUAUAAUGCACUUAUAUAAUGCACUUUUAAUUAGUCGAAUCAGUGAAUAUCAGAUAACGAAUUAGUAUUACAUUAAAAAUUUAGUAAAAAAUAAAGGGAAAAGCUACUCUGAAGUGUGAAUGGUAUAAAUGAUGAGAUACCCAACUACCAAAUCCUUCUUUGAUGGCUGACCUUAGAACAAGAAAGGUCAAAACAAAAUUUUGACCAGAAAAUUUCCAGAAGAAUACAAAAUAUAAAUAUUUUUAUGAGUAAAAGCAUCCACAACCCCCUCAAACUAUGGUCAAAGUUGCUACGACACACUCCAACUUCACAACUUAAUUUUAGCGUAUUUUUGUUACCCUUUGUUGCUGACAUGACACCUUUUGUCAAUCAUUUUAGCUGACGUGAUACCUUUGAAGUAGCCUCAUUUCAUGUAAUAAAGGUGUCGCAUCAGCACAAAAGAAUAACAAAAAUACGCUAAAAUUUUGACCAUGAAAUUUCCAGAAAAAUAUAAAAUAUAACUUUUUUAUGAGUAAAGCAUCCAGUACCCUCUCGAACAAUGGCCAAAGUUGUUACGGCACACUCCCAACUCUACGAGCGUCUUAUCACUCCCUGAACUUAAUUUUAGCGUAUUCUUGUCACCCUUUUGUGUUGACAUGACAUAUUUUGUCAACUAUUUUAGCUGAUGCAGGACCUAUUUUAUGGAAUAAAGAUGUCACAUCAGCAUAAAAGGAUAAUAAAAAUACGCUAAAAUUGAGAGGGGUAAUAAAAUCCCUGUGAAGUUGGAAUGUGUCGUAGCAACUUUUAUCAUAGUUUAAAGGAUACUGGAUGCUUAUCUCAUUUUCUAUCAUAUAAUAUAAGCAUAAUAUUAAUCCCGGAUAGCUAAUUCCGAACAAUGAAAUUCAACCAACAACAACAGCAGUCCCAGUGUAUUCCCACAAAGUGAGGUCUGGGGAGGGUAAAAUGUACGCAGUCUAUACCGCUACCUCCGAAGAAGUAGAGAGGUUGUUUCAUAUAAUAAAAUUCAAACAAGAGAGAGAAUAUUGUAUAAAGACCUAACAUACUCGAAAUUUCUUAAGUGUGUACACAAAAACUUCCAUGAAUGCAAUGCUCAAUGCUCUAGCAACAACUAGACCUUACCGAGAGCUAAGUUGCUCGGAAUCUCCGAAAAUGUGGCCGCACCUGUGUCGGAUCCUUAAAAAAUGCACUAGUUUUGAAGGAUCCGACGCUCACCUCAUGACAUUUUUGAAGAGUCGGGCAACAUAGUCCAAGCGUAUUACGCCUUGACUCGCGCUUUGUAUUGCUUUAUCUCCUUAAUUAUUCCAUCAGCAAGCAUGUUGACAUCGUUGUUCUUCCCAAAAAACUUGACAAAAUCCAUCUUAGGAUCCAUAAGAUACCUGCAUAUUGUAUCAACAAACUCAUCAAAUUCACAUGCCAUACUAACAUUCACGUCCGAACCAGUGGCGGAGCCAAAAAAAGUUCAUUAAGGGGGUUCGAAAGUGCACACAUGAACUAGCCGAAGGGGGUUUAACAUAUACAAUAUAUGCGUAAAAAAAUUUUUUAACCAUGUAUAAAUAGUGUAAUUUUUCGCCGAACGGGUUUCGAAUGAACCCCUGGAUAUAUGCUAGAUCCACCACUGGUCUGAACCCUUGUAAGAGAUGUCAUAAGAUUUCAAGUUUUAAAAGGCAUAAACAACCUCAAAGAAUCACUUUAGGCUGGAAAUUCCCAGCAAAUUACAAUAUGGAUCAUAACACUUUUGCAAGAAACCUUAAAUAUGCGAAAUGCCUCGAGCAUUUACGCAUGAUUUGGUUGAAAUUUGAAAAAAAUGAGCAAUUGAAAGAGCAUUUGGAUUUGUUGGUGUUUGCGAAUGGAGAAAAAGUUAAAAACUUUCGUGAGUAACAACUCGAAAUGCUCCUAAAACUAAUUAUCAAGCUUCAAAAUCUUCAGUUUGAAAUUCAAAUAAUGGACCAAAUUGAUAAUCAAACACCUACUUGAAAUUAUCUUCAAAUAUUAUUUCAACUAUUAGAGUACUUACUCUAAUGUGUAAGUAUAAACGCUCCCAGGCACGAAUCCCUAUGACAGUCACUUUCCAAGCCUAAAGUCAGUUUGUGACACCCCAACAUAGGAGAAGGAGUCCAACAUCGACAGAAACAAAGGAGGGAUGCUGGGUAUAUAAGUAAGUAAGUCUUACUCCCUAGUGACGCGUUUUAAAGCUGUGAGGGCCUGGGCCCAGAACGGACAAUAUCACUGGUGGGUUGAGGAGUUCAGGGGUAUCUUGGACCUUGAUGAUUCGAGAUGCUCGCCGCGGCCAGGGCCUCGGCUCGGGUCGUGACACAGUUCCUGUCCAUUGCUUAGAUGGUCUUUCCGGCAGUCAUGGCCAGAAAAGGGGACAACGAGGAGAACAUCACUUUCUACAGCGCAAGUUUCAAGGCAUAUGACAUAUCUAGAUGCCAAGCUGGUGGUGCAGAUACAUGGUAUGAAUGGGUGGAACGUCGCAUGUAUUUAAUGAGAGUUAAGAUUAGCUCAAAAAUUUUAAAGUGGUUAGUGAACGUAUUCAUUAAAGCAUCCAAAGUACAGGGGAAUGUCAUUAAGAAGUGGAGGCUUGCAGAGGCAAUAGAUGGACGACGGAAAAUACGAGAUCAGCACAGAUACAGAUCCAGGAUGAUAGCAUCAAAAUAAGCGGAGGUGCAGCUACAUCGGAAAAGGACCUAUUGAGCAGAUAUUUAGUAGGCAAAUUCCAGAUUUCAACACAAGAGCCGGUCACCCUAAACGACAUCAGAAGAUGGGCAAGCAGUACAUGGAAGACGGUCUUUGGAAUCAAUGUCUUUGCGAUGAACGAUAGUCACUUCCUCUUCGAAAUGCCUUCAAAGAAAGAAGCAGAACAUGUACUGUCGGGAGAAUGGAUCUGGAAGAAGAGAAAGAUCCCCUUGGAAUGGUGGAAACCCUCAACAGGAUGUUGGCCGGCAGAGAUCAAGAGGGAUUGGGUGCGGAUCCGACUUCUACGACUCCCGCUAAAUCUGUGGUCAGAGAAGAUCUUCAAAAUAGCCAGCGACCAUUGUGGUGGUUUUAUUGAAACAGAAGAGGAGACUACUCUCAAGAACCACCUACACUGUGCUCACAUCAAGGUCUGGGGAGAUGGAAGGAAAGUUUCGAGAGAGAUUAGCCCACAAACAGUGGAAACGUCUACACAAUUCCGAUAUGGGUCAAAGAUCCGGUCACCGUUAGGGCAGAAAUGGAAAGGACAGAGGUAACACUCGUUUGAAUGGAACAUGACACAAUGUGUUGUAAUUAAGAUAGAAAGUAGAAACAAGAAACAGACAGCCAUAGCUCAACAAGAACACACAGGUUUGGUUUGAGAAGAAAAAUAUUUGUUUCCUUAACAAGUUCAAGGAUUUCUGCUAUUUGAUACAAUUUCUCAAUGUACUAUUACUUCAUUUCUUUGUAUUGCGUAUAAGUAAAAUCCAUUGAUCUGUUCUAUCAAAUCAUCUCAGCUGCUCCCAUCUAAUUUUGAAGCUGACAACAACAACAACAACAAAAAACAGGGGUCUGGGGAGGGUAAAAUGUGCGCAGUUCAUACCGCUACCUCCGAAAAAGUAGAGAGGCUGUUUCCGAUAGACCCCCGGCUCAAGACGAAGCUUAUACUGAAAUAUUAAAAAUUUCUGGUACAUUAUACUGGACUAUUUUAAGCUCAAAGAAUCACUUUAGGUUGGAACUUCACAUCAAGUUACAAUAUGGAUCACAACACUUUUGCAAGAAACCUUCUAUAUGCUAAAAGCCUCGAGCAUUUGGGCAUGAUUUGGUUGAAAUUUGAAAAAAAUGAGUAAUUGAAAGAGCAUUUGGAUUUGUUGGUGUUUGCGAAUGGAGAAAAAGUUAAAACUUUUGUGAGUAACAACUUGAAAUGAUCCUAAAACUAAUUAUCAAGCUUCAAAAUCUUUAGUUUGAAGUUCAAAUAAUGGACCAAAUUGAUGAUAAUCAAACACUUACUUGAAAUUGCCUUCAAAUAUUAUUUCAAAUAUAAAUCAUAGUCACGGCCAAACGGUGAUAUAUAUGUCCAUCAAUGUAGCAUCUAAGUGGGUACAGAGAAGAAGUCAUCUGCGAGUAACCAGUAAUACAAACUACUCCCUCCAGUCCAUAGUACAUUAUGUUUUUAGAUUUGCACUUAUUUAGUCCAAAAUAGUUAACUUUUAGAUGCUCAAGAAACCAUAGUAAAUAGGUACUACUAUCUAAUUAACGGUAAUUUAGUGAAAACACCUCUUACUUCGAAGGGGCUAGUGGAUUUCUUAAAGGGUGUGUCCAACCUAAAAACACCACAUAAUAUGAACGGCAGCGAGCAGCUUGACAAGAGUGCUUAAAUUACGUCUCCCAGUUAGUUGUUUGGACUAUGAAGUACUUGAUUCCUAGAUGGAGUAUCUUUGUAUUUAAUAUCUAUGUUGUUCGAACUCUUCAAAAAUAUCAACGGGUGCAUAUCGGAUUCUCCAAAAGUGGUGUAUUUUUGGAGAAUCCGACAUGGGUGCGGCAUCAAAAGUGAAGAGUCCGCACAACUUAGUUUAGUAUAAAAUGAAUUUCAUCAUUAAAUAUAAGUUUAUGGUAAAUCAUGUUCUAAUCAUUUAUGCAAACUACAAGAAUUAGUUUAGUUAAUCAAAAACCAACCCAUAUCUUCUCCCAACAAGCCAUUAGCACACAAUCUCCCAACAAAAAGCUAACACCUCUUUGAGCUCCCUCCCAGCUACCACUUCCAACUUCAACGAUAUUUCCACUCCCAUUCCACACAUCAGUAUAUAUCCAACUCUACAAGACUCCGCUCGCACAUAGGUCCUAAUGCAGGCAUAUUUUUUUUUAAUCGAAAAUGAUUACCAAGAAUGCAGGCGGACUUUUGAAGUGAUCAAACGGAAACAGAGGGGCUACAACCACUAUAUAAGUAGUGCUUUCCAAAUAGAAGAUACGAAAAGGAAGUAUAUAUCCAACUCUACAAGACUUUGUUCACGCACAUAGGUCCUAAUGCAGGCAUUUUUUUUUUUAAUCGAAAAUGAUUACCAAGAAUGCAGGCGGACUUUUGAAGUGAUCAAACGGAAACAGAGGGGAUACAACCACUAUAUAAGUAGUGCUUUCCAAAUAGAAGAUACGAAAAGGAAGUAUAUAUCCAACUCUACAAGACUUUGUUCACGCACAUAGGUCCUAAUGCAGGCCUUUUUUUUUAAUCGAAAAUGAUUACCAAGAAUGCAGGCGGACUUUUGAAGUGAUCAAAAGGAAACUGAGGGGAUACAACCACUAUAUAAGUAGUGCUUUCCAGAUAGAAGAUACAUAAAGAAAAAAUAUAAAGAAAACGGUCACCACUGUAAUAAAUUUAGUUUUCUUAUGCGUACUGUUUAUGGUAUUACCAGUAUACUUGUAUAAAUAAAUUUGAAUAAUGCCCGCAUUAAUAUGCAAACCACAUCAUCUAAAGGUUUAAAGUGUUUAAAUUUAAAAGACUACGUAUGCAGGAUAUCGGAUCAUUUUGCAGAAAAAUCAAAGGAGUGCAGUUUGUAGACAUUGAAAAUAAAGAAGCAAUCAAAACUGACACGUGCAAUCAUACUAGGAUAAGAAGGAUCAAGUAACACAUACAUGACUAUUGAGUGAUCAACAAGGUAAUCUGAGCCUUCUUCUUCUGUCUUCAUAUAGUAAACCCGAUAAGCACGUGCUGUUUUCUUUAUCUCUUCGGGGCUACCAGUGAGGCCAAUCAAGUUUGGGUGGAACUCUAAACAUUGAGUGCAAGUUGUCGGUUACAACAUUACAAGUAUAUCUAAUAAUGCACAAUAUAUAAUCAGUUCAAUCUGAAACACACCUUUAACAUAUUCGCCUACUUGUUCAACCGUAUCUCUUUCAGGAUCAACCGAGAUAAAUACAGGUACUAUUUGGAUUCCAGACUUCUCCUCUGCAUAUUGAAUAUAUUACAAAUUAGAAGAUGAAUACAUCCCUGUAUGCUUAAAUUUAAAGGAAAAAGACAUCAUGACAGCUAAAGAUUAGAGCUUAUGGGCUUCUCUCUCACAACAAAAAAUUGUAACCAUACAGUCAACUGCCUUAUUGUAGUCCGCUACGAUUAUCUAACCAGUUUGAAACAGUUUCAUGUUUAAACCAGUUUGAACAUUUUCAUGCACAACAUGGAGUAACAAUUGAAGCAACAUUUGAGUUUAUGCACUUCAUGCUCUUAGUUCACAUGAUACUUAAUAUUGCUGAGAAGGCUUACUAAUUUUAUCAACUGCAGCAGCGAGUUUCUGUAGCUCCUCCGGGCAUAUAUCUGGACAGUGAGUAAAACCAAAAUACACAACUGUCCACUUGCCAAAGAAGUCUUUCUCAGUUACUGAUUUUCCAUUAUGAUCAAUAAGAUUAAAUGGACCACCAAUGGCUGCUUUUCCCACUGAAGGUCCUUCUUUCACGGAAGUUGAGGCAUUGGUGAUUUCUGUAACAAUUAAUUAACAAGCUUAAUCAGCAAACUAGAAAACUAGAAUGAUAGGAACUCAGAGGCAAGGCAAGAACACACGUUGUAGCCUAUGAUCGUACAAUCUUCAAAAAAUUAGUACAACAAACUUAAGGCUUCCUGAACAACAGGAACAAAGGAGAAAUAUUAGUAAAUACAAUUGUUUGUUACUCCCUUUGUUUCAAUUUGUUAUUCUAAUUUUGACUUGGCACAGAGUCUAAGAAAAUAAAAGAAAAUUCUGAACCUUGGGUCUUAAACUAAAAAUAUGUAGAAUGUGCAUAAAUACCCUCUAAUCUUGUAGUCUUAAAUAUGUCACGUGGAAAGUUAGAACCAAAGAGUUGCCAAAAGAGGAAAGAGGCAUUCUUUUUUAAACGGACGGACUAAAAAAGAAAAUAGCACAAACAUGUCGAAACGAAGGGAGUAUUUGAAGUAAAAGAUGGACUACCUAAUCUGACUUUCUUCUUAAAAAAUAAUUUCAUAAAAUGAGUAUUUAAACCUCAAAGUUGUUCUGUUCCAUUAAAUACAAAUACAGACGCUAUCGCAAGUAAUACUAAGCAGAACCUAUGGUGAUAGUAUCAGUAAAAGCAACCAUUUAACAGUGUUUUACCGAUAUAAAACACGACUGAAAAUGCACAUUUACGCUAUAAAAAAAGACAAAAAGAAAAAACGAUACCACAUUAUAUCUCUACAAAACCCAACCUAGGCAAAAAACAAUUUCCAGCAUGUGUUUUUCCUUUAAGAGCACAUUAGUUUAGUCAUGGACCACAAAACGAAGCAUACUCAGAAGUUUUGCACACGUGACAAGUGGAUUGAUGCCAAAUUAUUACUCUAGAAGUGAUGUGAUUUGUGAUCUAAUCUUACUGGUGACAAAAGGAACAAACAAAAGUUCACUUUUACUAAGACUGUAUUCUAACAUAUCUGUUUAUGUGACAAAGGGAACAAACAAAAGUUGACUUUUGAAAUAUGUUGUUCAAUUACUAAGACUGUAUUCUGACAUAUCUGCCUAUAAACACAUAGGCACGACCAUUGUCGCACUAUAUUUGGAACGAGGCAGUGGUAUAACCAGAAACCUAAAUUCGCGGCCUAAUCAAACAUGUGGCAUUGUAAAUGCAACUUUUGAAACAAAAAAUAAUCCUCCUUCGUGCCUUCAAACCCAAAGUCUAAUGAGCCCAAAAAGAUUUACUAUUGAGCUGUGUUGGAUUAGCCUACCACAAUUGUUUUCCUAAAACUAAUACAACUCACCAUAGUAAUCUACCUUCAAUAUGCCGUUUCUUUUCCCUGUCAUAAUAGUAAACCAAUCCAGCUCCAGUGCAAACAAGUAGAAAGAAGCUCAUCCAUGAAACAGGCUGCACAUAUCAAAAUAUUACUCAACAGAAAUAAAAAUCUUUUACACCCUACUAUAAACAUAAACAGAUAGAGUUAUGCAGGCGUCUCAAUAAAAUUAGUGGCCCAAAGCCAAAACAUAAAUACAAAAAUACUGGUAAUAGAGUGAUGCAGGCGUCUCAAUAAAAUUAGUGGCCCAAAGCCAAAACAUAAAUACAAAAAUACUGGUAUAGUAUUUUUAAGAGAUACAUGACUUUUAACUUCACAUGUUAAUGCUUAUUAAUAAAAGUUAAAGAUUAUUUCUAGUUAAUAAGAUGUUUGUCAUUUGUUUGCACUGCAUAAAUUUAGAUAUUGUUGUUAAAACUUUAUUUAUUAAUAUAAAGUUUGAGUUGUUUAGUUUAAAGUUCUAAAAUAUUUCUUGUAAAAAUGAAAACUUUUUUUUUUAUUAUUAUUAUUUAGAUAAUUUUUAAAAAUGUAUUUCAUAAUCUUCAUUAUUAUUUCAAAUGAAAUUGAAAUCACAGAGUUUAUUAUUAAAAUUUUGAGGCCUCAAAAUUUUUGGGGCCUAAAGCGAAGGCUUUACUAGCUUUACCAUUGAGCCACCCCUGAUUGCAUCUGAAUCCAUACUGUUACAUUUCAUUAAAAAUGCAGUUAUCCAAAGCAAAAGAGAGAAAUGGAACUCGCAAUCACACAAAAAAAGCAAAAAGUCUGCAGGGCAGUUGACAAUUGAAUCCGAUAUACAUAAACAACAACAAAAAAAAAAAACCAGUAUAUUCCCACAUAGUGGGCCGAUAUGCAUAAACAUUCCCCUUUAUUUCUGUCUAGCUAUUGUCAUUGUCGUGGGUCCUCACGUUCAUUACAUCGAUGUAGAUUGCCUCAUGAAAUCGAGCGACAAUCUCAAUAUCCAAGUAAACAGCAGCUCCAAGUAUGAUCAAAACAUAACUUUUACCAAAACAUAACACAUAAAACAUCGCCCAGAUGCAAGUAUUAGUCUGCAGUUUUCAGAACACACUACCUCCAGACUCAAUAUGCAUACGUACAUUACACACACACUCACACACUAAAUUUCCAUGUUUUUAGUUUGUAUUAAUUUUGUGCCCAGUGUAGCAUAUGAAAAGUGAAGGGGUGUAAUUGGUAAAGAUGUUGUCAUGUGGAAACAGCAUCUUGCAUUGCAAGUGUUAGUCAACAGGUUUUCAGAACACACUACCUCCAUACUCAAUAUGCAUACAUACAUUAAACACACACACACACUAAAUUUCCAUGUUUUUAGUUUGUACUAAUUUUGUGCCCAGAGUAGCAUAUGCAAUGGCGGAGCCACCAUUGCUCCAUGAACCCCCUUCGACAGAAAAUUAUAUUGGUUUUAUACUAUUUUUACAUGGUUAAAAAUAUUUUUUAUGCUAUAUAGUAGAUGUUGAACCCCCGCAAUGAAAAUCCCGACUCCGCCACUGAGCAUAUUGAAUAGCGAAGGGGCAUCGGAAUUGGUAAAGUUGUUGACAUGUAAAAACAACAACUUGCAUAAAUGCAUGGUUAGCCUGCAUACAGUAGACCCAUUAUGGUUCAUCCAUUCCCAGACCCGUGCAUAGCGGAAGCUUAGUGCACCAUAUGAGUAGUGGGAGCAUUAUAUGUUUGUAAAUAAAGCAAGUAUAACUUACACUACCCCGAAUAGACUUUCCCUGUGAACCACCAGAGCUCGAGCUGUUUCCAGAAUUUGAUUGAUUAGUAGGAGUUGAGGUACAGAGAAACCUGUAAGAAAUCAAUCCAUUUUCCAUUCGAUCCAAACGCAGAGCCUGUAAUCCAAGAAAUAGAGAAAUUUUUUUAGAUACAUGAAAAAGAAACCGUACUAUUCAAAGAUAACAAAAAAAGAUGAUUUUAUUAAACCGAUAUUAGAAAGAAAAGAAAUUGAAAACUUAAGAUUAGAAUAAAGGAAGACUAACCAAUGGAGAACGGGGUAGAGAUUUGGUGGCGGUGGAAGUAUUUGAAAGGGAAUGGAUGCGAUGAAAGAAAGGGUUGGUUGAACGGCAUUGCUGGGAAGAAAGGGAGUGAUAGAGAUAGCGAAUUUGUUGGUUUCUUGUUGUUGUUGUUAUUGCUUUCGCCAUUCCUCUGUUGUACAAUCGCACGCUGAAAGUUUUGCUGAAAACUGCACAGAGCUCAAACGCCCUACCAAAAGAAGAAACAAGUGGAAAUUAUUUCUUUAUUUUGGUUUUAUGGUUCUUCAAGUGAUAAUUUAAUUUAUGAGAAGUGCUCAAUUCAAUGAGGUUUGACACUUAUUUUUUAAGAAUUUUGUGGAAAAUUCAUACAACCAAUUUCCUGAAAUUUUGAUAAAAGUAGCAGCUUCGGUGAAGAAAAAUUCAACACAAACUUCCUCUAUAAAUUUACAUCUCAUUGGACACAAAGUAUACAUUCUCUCCUUCACAUUCUCCACUCUCCUCACAAAAAAAUAAAAUAAAAUAAACACGACAAAAAAAAAAAUAUUAAUUUUUGGCUUAAUUAGAGAAGAUGGCUUUCUCCAAAUUUAGUAAUUAUUUCUCUCUUUUUUUGGUUUUACUACCAAUGUUAGCUGCAGAAAAGGAUAAUCUUCCUCCUAUUUUCGCUCCCAACUUUGGUAUACAUAUCUCUUCUUCCAGCUGCUUUAUCUUUUCACAUUUUUAAAUGUUAAUUCAUUUUUAUACUGUUAAGUAGUACAAUUUAACUCAUUAUAUCGAGUUAUUACUCUAUUUUUUGAUGAAGAGUUACCUAUUGUAAAUCAACUCACUACUACACUCAAUUAGUUAGAAGAUCACCACAAAGACCUAACAGGACUAAAGUCCUUCAAUCCUUACCUACUAUACUCACUAAGUUAGAAGAUCGGACAAAUGUUGGAGCCAAUAUUUUCAUUACGGGUGUCAAAAUUGAACAAGUAAACACAUGAAGAAGCGCCACGGGGUGGGGGGUGGGGGGGAGGGUCAACAUCUACUAUAUAUACAUAAACAAAAUAAUUUUAACCAUGUAUAAACAAUGUAAUGUAAUUUUCCACAGGAGGUCUUGAACCAAUACCUGCUUUACUCACUAAGUUAGAAGAUCGCCAUUAUAUAACUUACAUCGAAACCUAAUCAAGACAUAAAGAUUGGCCUCAAUGAUUGCAAAAUCAUGCUGCUUGCAUCAUCUAAACUAAUCUACCCCACCUUAUAAGUUAAAAAAAGAGUUUUCCAAUUAAAGAGUCCUUCUAAAUUCACUUUGAUUUUAAAUAUCAUUUCAUCAAUUAUCACAUUAGUUGGUUAUUGUUAUUUCUAUUGAUCUUUUUUUGAAUGCUAAGUUAUGUUUUCCAUGUCCUCUUUACUUUUGUAUUUUUCUUUUAGCUGCUCCGAUGUUAGUUACUCAAGCCUCUCUACCUCCUCGACAUAGGGAUAAGGUCUACAUACACUUUAUCCUCCCCAGACCCCACUUUCAGGACUACACUGAGUUCCUUUUUGUUGCAUAGGUCGAGCCCAAACCAUUGUACUUUAAUCCUCGCUAGCACUACCUCUUCACCGCAAUCAAUUUCAAACUUAUCAUAAAUACAUUUUUUAGCUGCUCUGAUGUUCAUUACUCGAGCCUCACUACCUCCUCGAGGUAUUGAUAACGUGUGCAUACACUCUACCCUCCCCAUACCCCACUUUCGGAACUACACUGAGUUCCUUUUUGUUGCAUAGGUCGAGCCCAAGCCAUUGUACUUUAAUCCUCGCAAGCACUACCUCUUCACCGCAAUCAAUUUCAAACUUAUUAUAAAUACAUUUUUUUUAGCUGCUCUGAUGUUCAUUACUCGAGCCUCACUACCUCCUCGAGGUAUUGAUAACGUGUGCAUACACUCUACCCUCCCCAGACCCCACUUUCGCGACUACAUUGAGUUUCUUUUUGUUGCAUAGGUAACCGAAAACCCGAACCAUUGUACUUUAAUCCUUGCAAGCACUACCUCUUCACCUCAAUCAAUUUCAAACUUAUUAUAAACACAUAUUUUUUUACUUUGCAGCUAAAAAUGCAAAUUAAACAGCAAAAUAUUCACGAACAGUUAAUAGAAAUUGAAUCCUUGCAACCACUACCUCUUCACCUCAAUCAAUUUCAAACUUAUUAUAAACACAUAUUUUUUUACUUUGCAGCUAAAAAUGCAAAUUAAACAGUAAAAUAUUCACAAACAGUUAAUAGAAAUUGAAUCCUUGCAAGCACUACCUCUUCACCUCAAUAAAUUUCAAACUUAUUAUAAACACAUAUUUUUUACUUUGCAGCUAAAAAUGCAAACUAAACAACAAAAUAUUCACAAACAGCUAAUAGAAAUUGAAUACUAAGAAUCUCCAAUUCCAAAAUUCAAAUUUCACCAAAUCAAAAAAAAAAAAAAAAGUAGUAGUAAUUAGGGUUUAAGAGGAUUACAAAUUAAAAUUAGCCGGAGAAGGAGAUCGCCGCCGCGAGAAAUUGGGAGAAAAGAGCGCAAAGUUUUACAGUCCGGUGGACUACGGUGGCGACUGGCGGAAGAAGUCGGCGCGAAUUUUGAAAUUUAGGGCUAAUUAAUUGGGUCGAAUGAAUUGGGCCUGAAAGCUAUAUAUGGAUCCACAAGGCCUGAUCCAUUAUACAAUUGUGCAUGGAUAGCCCUUUGCUAUGUGUGAUUUGCACUAAAGGUAAUAUUUUUAAAAAAUAACAUAAACAUACACCUUAACUUAACAUAUUUAUUUAAAUGACCACUCUUACAAAGAAAUGACGAAAUUCUCAGCUAAUUAUAUAUCUUCGUUGAAUAUAUCUGGAGUUAAUUACAUAUAUCGAUAGACUCAAAAUAAAAAAAAUAUAUCGAGAGCUAAUUAUAUAUCUUUACAAGGGAAAAAAAAAUAACAUAAACAUACACCUUAACUUAGCAUAUUUAUUCAAAUGAUCACUCUUAUAAAGUAAUUACAAAAAAAAUAGUUAAUUAUGUAACUUCUUUGGAUGUAUCGAGAUCUAAUUAUGUAUCUCGAUAGACCCAAAAUAAAAAAAAAAUAUCGGGAGCUAAUUAUAUAUCUUUAAAAAGGAAAAAAAAUAACAUAAACAGCUAAUUAUAUAUAUUUACAAAGAAAAAAAUAACACAAACAUACACCUUAACUUAACAUAUUUAUUCAAGUAAUCACUCUUACAAAGUAAUUACGAAAAAUUCAUCUAAUUAUAUAACUUCGUUGGAUAUAUCAAGAGCUAAUUGUGUAUCUUGAUAGACUCAAAAAAAAAUAAAAAUAUCGGGAGUUAAUUAUAUCUUUACAAAGGAAAAAAAAUAACAUAAACACCUAAUUAUAUAUCUUUACAAAGGAAAAAAUAACAUAAACUUACACCUUAACAUAUAUAUUCAAAUGAUCACUCUUACAAAGUAACUACGAAAAAUUCAACUAAUUAUGUAACUUUGCUGGACGUAUCAAGAGCUAAUAGUAUGUCUCAAUAGACUCAAAAUCAAAAAAAUGUAUCGCUAGCUAAUUAUAUAUCUUUACAAAAGAUCCAGCUAAUUAUACCUGCGUGUAGUUAGGCCCAACCUAGGAUCCGGCCCACUAAAACUUGACAUAUUUCUUCUUCAACCUGUUAACACUAUUACCACUACACAAUAGUAUAAACAACAUAUAUACUGCAAAAGUGAAACUAUUUACAUAAUUUCUAAUUGAGGUUUUCUCUUUUCCUUGUAUCCAAAAUAUUGUCAUACAUUCAGUUGAUUGUUACACAUUCGCUGAAUGUAUGAUAAAUCUGAUUUACCUAAAAUUAAGGGAUAAGGAAUCAGUAAAUGUAUCACUAUUCCUUAAAUUACGUUAUUUAAUUACCUGAUAUUAAUUAUUGUAUGAGUUAAAAUAGUAAUUGAAAUUUGAAUUUCAAAAACAAAAAAUCUUAAACAUUACAUUUAAUUGUCUUCUUUUAUGAUUUACUUUUCUGUGUAAAAAAAAAAAUUCUCGUACGUUCUUGUGAGAAAAAAUAUGAACAUCCCAAUAUUGUUGCGUCAUUCAAGUUUAUGGGAGACGAAAAUAAGUUUUAAAGCAUACAAAAGUGAUGCUAUUGUUGUUUCUGAAAGUAUUAACUUUGCGAAAUUGGUUGCGACAAUCGCGAUGGAAUUGGGUAUUGAUGAUGUUCGAAAAAAAAUUGAAGUAAAAUAUAUUGUUGAUGGUAAUUCUUCACCAAUUAUCAUAAGAAAUGAUAAUGGAGUCAAGGUUUAUAUUGAGUUAAAGAAACAGUGUUCUGGGCUUAUAAGUUUUCCGCUAUGUAUAACAACUUCCAACAAAUCGAUUAAGGAUAUCGAGUUUGAUAGCAAAACUGGGAUUGUAAUGUGUAUUGAAGGUAGUGAAUCUGAUUCGGUUGUGUUAACUGUUGUUGAAACGCAGAAUCAGUAUUCAUUAUACGUUCCAGAAUUUGAAGUUAAUAAUUUCAUUACUGAUUGCAAGAACACUGAAAUAAAAGUGAACCAACUUUAUAAGGAUAAGCAAACUUUGGUAUCGGUUAUGGUGAAAUAUGCGAUAUCGAAUGGAUUUAACACCUUUACUAAACGAUCUGAUAUACACAGGUGUGGAAUAAUUUAUUAAUUUUUAUUUGUAGAUGUUGUGAAGGAUGUUGUUGUGUUGUAAUAGCAUUUGUUAAACGAGUUUUAUUAUUGACUGUAAUUUCUGACUUUGUUGUUUGCAUAAAAAAAGGUUACAGUUCUUAUGUAUAAUAUUCCAUCAUACAUGCAUGCGAAUGUAUAAUAAAACUAUAACAAUUUAGUUAUGACUUUCUUAUUUAAAGUAAAGAUUUUAUAUGUAUGUGAUUAAAUGGACAACAUGUUUUAAAAUGUAUUUGCAACUAUGUGUUACAUUGUCGUGCCAAAGAUUGUAAAUGGGUCCUGAAGGCGUAUUCGAUGAAUCAUUCGAAAAUCUUUGUGAUAAAGAUAUUUGUUUCGAAACAUAGUUGCAGCUUGAGUGAUAGAGUUCUGAAUAAUUUGGUUGCAACAACAGCUUUUGUCAGUGAGUUUACUGCACCAAAGUUAAUUAAUUACAAGAAAAUACACACACCGACGGACAUAAUUGAAGAGAUGAAGGUUGUAUACGGUGUUGAUAUUAACUACAUGAUGGCUUGGCGGGCAAAAGAAAAGGCAAUUGCGAUGCUUAGAGGUGGACCAACUGAUGGAUAUCGAAAAAUGCCCCAUUAUAUAUAUAUGUUGAACCAGGUAUAUCCUGGAUCAUAUAUUCGAAUGCAUAAGACAUUACAUAACGAGUUUAAAUACUUGUUUAUUGUCUUACAUGUUCGAAUUUUGUCGUCCAGUGGAAGUUGUAGAUGGUGCACAUUUAAGCGGGCCAUAUCAAGGAACGUUUGUAUAGACGAGCACUCUUGAUGGUGCAGGUAUUAUACUUUGAAGUAUUUACAUUUGGUAUUUCAGCAUUGUGCAUGCGUCCUAGCAGGUUAUAUGUUGCUCUAGUAUGUAUAAUAAAAAUUGAACUUGCUUAAUGAGUACAUAAAAUACCAAUAUACGCCUUUUAUUUUGUGUUUUUGAUGUUUUCUAUAAAGUGGAUGCUAGUUUCUGUUUAAACAACCUUAGAAAUUUCAUUUUCAUUUUAAAAUUGAACGAGUAUAAUGUAAGUAGAUUUUGUUUUUUGUGCUUUGUGUAUGAUUAUCUAUUCUACUCAAUGGUGUAUGUAUGAUGUUGUAAAAUAUUCAUACUUUGUUAUAUAUUUUAUAUUUAGUAUAUAAUUCCCUAACAGUAUGUUUACGAUGUAUGAUGUACUGUUAUACGUUAUUAAAAUGUGUGGAGUUAUAUAUUUUAUUUGAUUUCAACAUAGUGAUACUGGUGGGACAACAUGUAUGAUGUCAUGUAUUAUCUAAGUGAAAAAUAAUUACAGAUCUGUGCAAUGGUGUACAGAUUUAAUAGAACUGUUGUUGUUUUUUUUUGUUUAGGAUGUAUUCUUCCAUUAGCGUAUGGUGUAGUGGACUCUGAAAAUGACAAUUCGUGGACUUGGUUUUUUCAUCAAUUUACAGAAGCAUUUGGAGAAUGGCACAACAUGUGUGUUGUAUCGGAUCGUAACAAAAGUAUUAUUAAAGGUGUGAGCAUUGUUUAUCCUAAUGUCCCCCAUCUUGCUUGUAUUUGGCAUUUAUGAAAAAAUAUUUGUAAAUAUUUUACAAAAAGCAAAGAUAGACUUAGUGACCUUUAUUAUUCCAUGGCUAAAGCGUAUAGAAAAGAAGAUUUUGAUUACAUUAUGUCAAAGGUUGGAAAGGUUGAUCCAAGGGUUAAGGAAUAUUUGAAAGAACCUGGUUAUGAGAAAUGGUCUCGAUGUCACGCCCCUGUUAAUAGAGGUAGAAUGAUGACCUCUAAUAUAGCUGAAUGUAUUAAUGGUUGUUUGGUAGAGGCUAGAGUACUUCCUAUUUUAGGUUUCCUUGAAGAAGUGAGGAUUCUAUUUGCUGCAUGGAAUUGUAAGAACAGUGAAAUUGCAUCUUAUACAAACACACCGCUUGGGAGAAGAUUUCAAGAAAUACUAACUGAUAAUGGGGUUAAAUCGUUGCGGAUGACGGUAUGUAUUCUGAUAGUUGAAUCUAUUUUUUAUUUGUUAUUAAUUUUUGUAUUGUUAAAUGUAUAAAAUUAAUCAUUGAUUACAGGUUAAAGCAACUGGUAAUUAUCUGUACUGUGUGUAUGAAUCAAGAAGGAGGUACAUUGUUGAUAUUGAGCAUGGCACGUGUAGCUGUUGUCGGUAUCAAAUUGAUGAAAUUCUAUGUGCACACGCAAUUGCGAUUUUGAAGAGUAUAAAUAUAGAUGUAAAAGAGUAUGGGCGUUACUAUUCAGAACUGUACUAUCCAAACACCAUUGUAAAGACGUAUGAACUCCCCAUAAUUCCUAUGUCAGAUAUGAAAUAUUGGAUUGUACCAGAUUUUGUUGAUGCAGAUGAAGUCUUGCUACCCAAAUACAGAAGACCUCCCGGGAGGCCAAAAAAAGGAAGACAUUUGAAAUCUAGUGAAUCACUUAUAAGUUCAAACCAUUGCGGUAAAUGCGGGCGUGCAGGCCACAACCGUAGGAAGUGCAGUUUAUUCCCUAAAGAAAGUUGAAGAUUUUAGUUUGUUUUUCUAAAUGCUAAGUGAUUGUUUGGAUAUAACUACAAAACGUCAAUUUUUUUUUUUGUUUCUUUGCUUGUUGACAUUUAUUUUAUGUUUUUAUUUGUUAUGUGCUUUUUAAUUAUGAAUGAAUGUUUGAUAUUUUGAAAACAAUAUCACACAGUUUUGAAUUCUUACAGUUUAUGACUUUACUGCUUAUUAUUGCAGCGCAGUAAUAUGUAAUAUUAAUGUAUAAUAUAUUUAACAUGUCUGAUAUUAUACGUUGACAACAUGUAUGACUUUUAUGUAAAUAUUUUUUAAAAGCAUAACAACUAAUAAUAAUAUGAAUCAAAACGAAUUUGUGUGCGGAUUAUGGAUUAUACAUUAAGAUCUAUGUAUGAGAGUAAAUUUUUUUUUUGUUUUGUUAUUAGUAUUAUGUAUAAAUGUUGAUAAAUUAAGUUUGUUUACAAUUUACGAUGUAUUGUUAUUUUUGAAAAAAAAAAAUUGAAUAUGAAGUUGUUUUCAAUUAAGCAAUGAGACGUUUCAACAUGUAUGAUGUUGUCUACUGAAUUUCUUAAAAAUAAAUUGAUACCUGUUCAAUGUAUAAUUAACUCAUAAUAUAAUAUUUACUUCUUUAAUGUCGGAAAAAAAUAAUGUUUUACAUACAUUUAAUUUACUAUACAUAUGUGACAUUUUACAUAUGUAAAAUGUUGUUAUACAGUCUUUUUAAUAUCAAGUUAGUUUAAAUGAGUAAUUAACAAAUAAGAUAGAAUAAGUAAAAAAGAGUUUAUGUAAAUGUAUUAAAACCAAUAACUGCCAUCCAUAUAAUGUUGCCCAAAAACCAACAUUCCAAAAAACAUUACUGUAUAUAACUUUUUAGCAAAAACAACAAAAAAAGCAAUUAGAAUGUUUUUUAGACUGAGCUACUCUAAAGUAACAAUUGCACUUUCAUUAGGUGAUUGGAGAAAAGUAUUCUUUGGACGAGGAGGAUCAUCAUUAUCACUCGUAUAACCUUUUUUUGCCUUCGUCACUCCGUAAUGCCAUAGUAAUGAAGCAUAACGUGCACGUUGACUAGAAGCUUCAAACUCACAUAAUGAACUUGUUGCCCUUCACUCAAUAUUUCUGCAUAUGCAGCCACAAAUACCCCGCAAUCCCUGAAUUUUUAAUAAAAUGAAAGAUCGAUAAGUAUAGUAAUUUAACAUGAUCAUACAUGUGAAAAUUUAAAAAGUAAGGACACUUACAAACUAUCAGACGCUUUCUGUGGAAUGCUUUGGACGUAUUCAACAUCAAAUGGGUUGUGACUUAUCUCACCAGUUUGCCGACCAAGCUUCCCUUCAUACGCUUUAAGUGUUGACCAGUCAACUCUUUCAGUCUUUUCAAAAAAACUACUGUCCGACAAGUAAGUAGACAGCAUGGCUGGUAACUUUCUUAUUUCAGUUGGUGGUUCACUCUUCGUUUUGCUUGACAAUGAGUCAUACACGCGUAUUGUUCUCUCCUUUAACACAAUUACAGUCAAUAUCCAGUGAUAUUCUUUUCCACAGUUAACAGGAACAUAUACCUCAUCAAUCAAAUGCCAUGGUAAACCCGCAGGAAUACAGAAUCCAUUAAUUAUAUUUGUUAUGGUGAUUUCAUUAGAAGCACAAGCAACAGAUUCUGCAUAGUCUUUUUGCGUAGAUAUGUGAUCUAUUUUAACUUCUGGAAAAUAGCGUUCGUAUGUUUUUUCCAUAUAUGUUUUGAAGAAGCAGCUGGUUGUCGUAUAUCUAUAUGGAUCACACUGCUGCAACUUUGAUUUUUUUCUCAAAUGGUAGAAUAUUACAGCUAAGUGCUGCGAUUAGAAAUGGUUAUGUUAUGUUAAGCACUGAAAGAAAACUGCAUAUUAAGACGCUAUUACUAUUUAUUGCGUAAGAAGUUGAAUGAAUGACAUGUUUCCAUUACAUCUAUAAUGUGAUUAUACAGUCCAUAACAUGUAUGAUAUUUAUUCAUACAACAUAUGCUAAUGUAUAUGUUUUAGUUAUUAGUAUGUAUUGGGAAUGUAAAUUAGUGUAUGAUAUAUUAACAAAACUUUGAUUAUAUGUAAUACUACAUGUAUAAUCAUUAGUCAUAAAAUUAAAUCGUAGUAAAAUGAUUUUGCUAUUAUUAUUUUGCAACAAAGAACAGGAAUGUAUGAUAUGUUACAAGUCAUUGUUUUAAAUGUGAUUCUACAUCACACCACGUGUAUGAUCUGUAACUAUACAAUAGAUUAUGUGUAUUAUGUAUUUUAAUCGUACAACAACUACUAAUGCAUAAUUUUUAGUUGUUAGUAUGUAUGAUAUACUAACAUAACAUGUAGUAAAUGUGAUUAUAUGUCUUACCACAUGUAUUAAAUUGUGUCAUAAAAUAAAUUCGAAGUCAUAUAUUUUCGUUGUUAUUAUGUUUUCAACAAAGUACAUCAAUGUAUGAGCUAUUACAAUUAAAUGUAUAAUAAGUGAUUGUACAUAACACCAUAUGUAUGAUAUGUAAUAAUACAAUAGAUUUUAUGUAUUAUGUAACAAUUAGAAUAUUUUUAGUAAAAGUUUAAAGAAGCAUGAUAUAGUUGAGUUUAAUUUAUCUCAUCAUUCCAACACAUUUUGGGUUGCUUCAUUAAGUAGAACCAAUUCUUUGAGAGUGCUUGUGCAACAAUAAAGUUCAAUAGAUGAUAACCUAAUUCCGGAGCAUUUUUUAGAUAGUAAUUGUCUGUUUGUUUCCUGUAACAUAAACAAGCAUUAGAAUUCACCAAGGUUUAUUCUUAUGUACUAAAUUCAGUAAUUUAGUAAGCUUUUGAAAUAACUUACUUUGAUGCAUGAUAUUUCAGUAACCCAAGUUCAAGCCACUGUGAAUAAUCGCUGAUUAAUUGAUUAGGCAUGUCUUCGUAAAUGGUAUAACCAUCAAAAGCAUACCUCUGCUUCUCUUCAUUAUCAGAACUGCCAUCAUCUUUAGAGCUCGAUCCAAAUUUUUUGAUGUAUGGUGACCUGAAAAUCUUUGACUUUUUUCUGUCUCUUUUAACAGGUGAUUUAUGUUUUACUUCAUGAGCUUUUGCUGCUUCAAGCUCACUUACUUGUGCAUCAGGAAAGUCUGGUAGAAACUGACUAUCUGGAAGUGACCACUGACUUUCCUUCACUAAAUUUGGUGUAACAACAUCGAAUUUUUUUGUAUUCGAAGGUGUUGACAACCCAAAUAUUAGUAUGUCUAAAGCAUCUUGAUCAGACUCCGUUAGUGUGGCAUUCACAUCAUUCUACAGAUUAAAGAUUGAUGUGUUAUGUGUAAAAUCAAACAUAUUAAUGUUUGAUGUUAGUGAUACCUAAACAGCAGCGACAUUUAUGUAGAUUGUUUUGUUUGUUUAAACCAAAAUUUGAACUAUAAAAAAAAUACUUGCAAAUCUGUCACAUCAGUACUAUGAUGUUUGUUCAAUUCGUCAACACAAAAUGAUUUUUUUGUGGCAAUAUGCUCAUCCUAUUUUAAGUAAAGUCAUUAUGUAAUAAAAUAAAUAUGUCAUAUAUCUAUAUGUAUCACAAAUGUAUAAAGGACUGUACUAUGUCAUAAGUUUAUGUUUUUAGACUUGAAGUGUUCAAUCAGCAGUAGUAAAACAGAAAAAAUUUAAAAAGUGCCAUCACAGGAGUAUGUUGUUUUCCCAAAUAUUUGAUAGCAUCUUCCUCUUUAUCGAAAAUAAGCGAAUCCUAAAUUAAGAGUUAAGUAGAAUGUCGGAACACAUUUAUUAAUAGUAAGACAUAGUUCUAAAGGAUAAAAAUUUGUAAAAGUGAUUUUAAAAAUCCUACAAUGAUGAAUGAAAAGAUGUUUACAUAAUUUGAUAUGUAUUAGGGAUGGAUGUCAAUGUAUAAGAAUGUAAGUUUUGAGUUGAUAAACAACAUGGAAAACCAAUAAUGUACCUCUAAAUGUUUCUGUUAAUAGAACUUUAUUGAAAGGAAGAAAGGCUAAGAUUUACAAUAUAAUCUGAAAAGCCUGAAACUAACUAAACAAAAGUAGGCUAUAUAUACAUAGCCAAUAACCUAAAGGUCCAUAAACUAAAGGCCCAAUAACAUAUGGGCUAACAUCCCCCCUCAAACUCACAAUGCAACAGCAAUAAGCAUUGAGAGUUUGUCACACAAAAAACGAAAUCGAGACGCCGACUGAGCCUUCGUAAAAAGGUCAGCAAUCUGCAAAGACGAUGGAACAAAAGGAAGCGAUAUGGUCCCGAGCUGUAAAUGAUGACGGGUGAAGUGACAAUCAAUCUCAAUGUGCUUCGUACGCUCAUGGAAGACAGAAUUCUUUGCAAUUUGUACCGCACUUUUGUUAUCACAAUGCAGGGGAGUAGGCAUAGAAAUGUGAACCCCCAUAUCUGCAAGAAGCCAACGUAACCAAAUAAUCUCACAUGUAGUCACAGCCAUAGCACGAUACUCAGCCUCCGUGGAAGAUCUAGAGACAACAUCUUGUUUCUUGCUCUUCCACGAGAUUAAAGAGUCUCCAAGAAACACACAAAAACCAGUGGUGGAUUUACGAUCAUUGCGAUCUCCAUCCCAAUCAGCAUCACUAUAGGCUCGCAACUCGAGAGAUGACGUCGAGGGAAACAAGAGAUUCUGAAACUGAGUGCCACGAAGAUACCUUAGAAUACGAAGUACAGCUCCCCAGUGCACAGAAGUAGGAGCAGUAACAAACUGGCUAACAACAUGAACUGCAUGUGCUAUAUCUGGACGAGUAACCGUAAGAUAAACCAAACUACCCACAAUAGUCCGAUAAAGACUCGGAUCUGAUAAUGGAACACCAUCACUAGGAGAGUAACGUGCAUUGGUUUCAAGGGGAGUAUCUACAGUCCUGUUGUCAGAAAGACGCGCCCGUGUAAACAAGUCAGAUAUAUACUUAGUCUGAGAAAGAAGAUACCCUUUCUUAGACUGAGCCACCUCAAUACCCAGAAAAUAACGCAGCAAGCCCAAGUCCUUCAUUGCAAAUCGAUGAGCCAAAUCAUGCUUCAAUAACUCAAUACCACUAUGAUCAUCACCAGUAAUAAUCAUAUCAUCUACAUAUAAGGACAAUAGAAUUCGCCCUGCACUUGUACAUCUAACAAACAAUGCUGAAUCAUGGUUACUCGGGACAAAUCCAAGGGAAGUAAUAACAGUGGAGAAUUUCUCAAACCAAGCACGAGGGGCUUGUUUGAGACCAUAUAAAGCUUUUCGAAGCCGACAAACUUCACCUGGCUGGUGGUCAAUACCUGGGGGAGGAGUCAUAUAAACUUCCGCGUGGAGAUCACCAUUCAGAAAAGCAUUCUUGACAUCCAUCUGAAAUAUCUUCCACUGUCGAACGGAUGCAACAGCAAUCAUAGUGCGAACAGUCGUCAUCUUUGCUACGGGGGAAAAAGUCUCCUCAUAAUCCAUACCAUAUUGUUGUGAAUACCCUUUUGCCACAAGUCUUGCCUUGUAUCGCUCAACAGACCCAUCAGAUUUUGUUUUUAUCUUAUACACCCAUCGACAACCAAUCGCAUGCUUACCAGGUGGGAGAGUAACCAAAUCCCAUGUAUGUGUAUGAUGAAGAGCAGCAAGUUCCUCAGCCAUAGCAUUCUGCCAAAGAGGAUCAGACACAGCCUCUCUAUACGACUCAGGUUCAGACAAAUGAUGUAUGUUUGCAAUAAAGGAAGCAAAUGAGGCUGAAUAUGUAGAAUAGUAAAAAUCUGGCAGUUUGGUGGACUUACAAGGUCGAGUAGACCUCCUCAGAGGUGGUGGGUCUCCAGUCUCAACAGUCGAAGGAGCAGACUCAGGCACAGGCGAGGCUGAAGCACUAUCAGGUGGCACACCAGAUGGCAUGGAUGAAUCCGGAACUGGAACCUCUAUGUCAAUCCCAAAGGGAUCAAUAAGCCGAAUAUCUGACUUUGUCACAUCAUGGGUUUUAGCUGGAAUGGAAUAAAAAGGAAUAUGUUCCAAAAAAGUGACAUGUCGUGAAACAUAUAAUUUCUGACUUACAGGAUCAUAGCAACGAUAUCCUUUUUGUCCAAUACCAUACCCCAAAAACACACAUAUAGCUGAUUUUGACCCUAACUUAUUUCGUUCAACAUGAGGACGAAGAACAAAGCAAGUACAUCCAAAAACUCGUAAUGCAGAAUAAUUCGGCGGGUGACCAUAUAGUUUCUCAAACGGAGACAUCCCUGAAGUCAAUGCAGUAGGAAUACGAUUAAUCACAUAUACAGCAGUUAGAACUGCUUCUCCCCAAAAAAUACUAGGAACCUCUGCAGACAAAAGUAAAGAGCGUGCUGUCUCAACAAUAUGACGAUGUUUUCUUUCUGCCAGACCGUUCUGCUCAGGAGUGUCGGUACAAGAUGACUGGUGUAUGGUACCAUCAGAGGCAAGUAACUGAGUGAAGUCAUUAGAGGUAUAUUCACCCCCUAAGUCACACCUGAAACACUUUAUCACAGCCGAAUGUUGUGUUUUAACAAGGGCUCUAAAGUUGUUGUAAAUGCCAAAGAAAUCAGAUCUGCGUUUCAUAAGAUACACCCAGGUAUAACGAGUAUAGUCAUCUAUAAACGAAACAUAAUAGGUCGAUCCACCCUUAGUGGAUACUGGCGCUGGUCCCCAUACAUCAGAAUGAAUAAUAUCAAAAGGAGCAACAGAAUAAGACACACUUUUAUUAAACGGUAAGGCAGAAAAUUUUGCCAGUUUACAACCACUACAAUCUGAAAUAUCACUAGUGUUCACAUGACCCAAAGCACCACUAGAGACCAAAAAACGUAAACGUGAAACUGACACAUGUCCUAAUCUGGAAUGCCAAAGAUAAAACUGAGAAGACAAAGGACUCAAACGAAAAGAAGAUAAAUCUAUGCUAGAGGCAGCAACUACAGACACUUUGAGAUUCUCCAAGACAUAGAGUUCCCCCAACCUACGGCCGGUCCCAAUCACCCUCUGAGUGUGUUGGUCCUGUAUAACACAAACAGAAUCAGAAAAAAACACCCAAUUACCAGCCUUACACAACUGACUGACCGAAACAAGAUUUAAAGCAAGUUUGGGAAUGUAAUAAACAUCAGAGAGGACAAUGUGAGGGGUAGUAACAGAACCAACACCCUCGACUGACAUAGGUACAGCACUCGCGGACAUAACAGAGAUUGGUGAAAUGGGUGACAAAGAACCAAACGAUGACAAAUGAGGGGACAUGUGAUGAGACGCACCAGAAUCCAAUAUCCACAAGGAGGAAGGAAUACCUGAGGUACUAGAAGAAACUGAACCCGAAUGAGACAUAGAUGCUGACAUGGCCGUAGGAUUAGAAACGAAGAACUGUCUGAACUGUUCGAAAACCUGGGGAUCCAACGCAGAAGGUGGCAUAGUGCUAACAGACUCAACAUCUACAGAUGGUGCAGCAGCAGCGAACUGUGGAGGACGAGAUGACCACGGAGGAGCACCAGAUGGGCGUGACGGAUACUUUUGCUGCCCAUAUUUCUGUUGCUGCCCAGAUUGAGGCUGUUUGACCUUGUUAAGUAACAACGGACACUGAGCCUUCCAAUGAUUUUUCUGUUUGCAGAAUGCACACUCAUCAAAUGCAACUUUAGGAGAUUGUCGAGUCUGAGUACGUGGUGGCCUAGACUGAUCAGUUGAAGCAGCAAACACGACAGGAGUAGUAGUUACUUUAGACCCUUUAUCCACUUGAGACUUGAUACGAGUCUCCUCUGCAAUCAGUUCAUGAACCACAGAAUCAACAGUAGGGAGGGGAGAUCGAUGAAGGAUUGUUCCACGUAGGCCCUCAAAGUCAGAACGUAGUGCCAUCAAAAACUGAACCAAGCGUUGCUCUUCCCGUCUAGCAAUGUACGGCCCAAAACCUUUUAACUCUGCAGAUUCAGUAAGUGCCAAUUGAUCCCACAAAUCCGACAUGGCAGCAUAAAAAUCUUGAAUACUGAGAUCAUGCUGUUGAAGAGCACGGAUAUCAUACUCCAACUGGUACUGCUUAGCAAAAUUAGACUGAGUGUACAGUCUUUCCAAAUGAUCCCAGACCUCCUUUGCUGUGUCAUACUUAGCCAAUUGCAUACCAAUUGACUGAGUUACAGAAUUGUUGAUCCAAGUGAUAAUCUUGGAGUUAUUAGUUUCCCAUAAGUCCACCAACAAAUCAAAAUUUUCAGUUUUAUCAUCGAUAGGUCUUGGUUUUACUCCAGUGAUAUAACCCCACAUAUUCUUCCCACGAAGAAAAUUCUUCAUGACAUAACUCCAAUAUGCAUAGUUCUUACCAUCUAAUUGAGUACUAAUGGACUGGAGAGAAUCAUCCUUUCCAGUCAUUGUAAACACAGCAACACACAAACAAUUCAAAAAACAAAAAGAUGCAAAACCCUAGGUUGAACAAUUCCGAACGAACAACAAUGGCAGCAAGCAAAAGAACGAAAGACGAACAAUACCAGACAGCAAACGAAGACAGCAACGAAUCAAUCCAACCAAAAAACCCAACGAAAAGAGCAAACGAAUACAGCAGCACCUCAAAAAAAUCAAAGGACAUGGAUCGAACUAGCUUUGAUACCAUGUUAAUAGAACUUUAUUGAAAGGAAGAAAGGCUAAGGUUUACAAUAUAAUCUGAAAAGCAUAAAACUAACUAAAACAAGAGUAGGCUAUAUAUACAUAGCCAAUAACCUAAAGGUCCAUAAACUAAAGGCCCAAUAACAUAUGGGCUAACAUCCCCCCUCAAACUCACAAUGCAACAGCAAUAAGCAUUGAGAGUUUGUCACACAAAAAACGAAAUCGAGAUGCCGACUGAGCCUUCGUAAAAAGGUCAGCAAUCUGCAAAGACGAUGGAACGAACCCCGGACGGGGGCGCGUUGCCCCCCGGACCCCCCAGCGAACUCACCACGGAGUUCGAUCCGCGCAGUAGGUGCCUGCUACAAAAUCUUCAACCAACAAAUCAAAGGACAUGGAUCGAACUAGCUUUGAUACCAUGUUAAUAGAACUUUAUUGAAAGGAAGAAAGGCUAAGAUUUACAAUAUAAUCUGAAAAGCCUGAAACUAACUAAACAAAAGUAGGCUAUAUAUACAUAGCCAAUAACCUAAAGGUCCAUAAACUAAAGGCCCAAUAACAUAUGGGCUAACAGUUUCAUAUGAGGGCUAUGUUGUCUGCUCAGUUCUUCAUUACAAUCUGUUUUUUUUUUUUUGCAUCAUUAUGCUCAUCCUACAUUCAGUCAUCAGCAUCAUGUAUAAAAGUCAUGUUAAUGUAUAAUGUAAUGUUAUACAUUCUCAUGAAUGUAUAAUGAAUCUGAGACAGUAUCACAAUAUGAUAGUAUUACAAUAUAAAUUAUUCAAAGUAAGACAGUGCUAGAUAAAAUAAAUUUGUAAUACUAAUUUGAAAAGUCAUAUAAUGGUGAAUGAAAACCUGUUUAUAGAAUUUAAUAUGUAGUUGGCAUGGAUGUGAAUGUAAAAGCAUGUAAGUUUUGAGUUAAUAAACAAUAUGAACAACCAAAAAAA